This 83101-nucleotide long non-coding RNA is filed under the name Vigna radiata. RNAcentral describes it as "long non-coding RNA (VRAD_LNC000188)". Lineage: Eukaryota; Viridiplantae; Streptophyta; Magnoliopsida; Fabales; Fabaceae. The record is from RNAcentral.
AUCGUAUACAAUAAGGAUUAUAAUAAAUAAUUUAAACUUGAAUAUAAAACUACUAUGAACAAAAAGGACUCAAUUGAACAGUUUUUUCAAAAGGUGAGAUCAAUUAUUAUAAAAAAAUGUAGGACCAUAUUGAACAAACCCUCCAAACUAAGAACCAAAAGAAGUAUUAAGUAUUUUUUUAUACAUAAAUAAUAAUACAAAAAUUAUUAAAUUACAAAAAAUCUACAGAAAUUAACAUUUACAAUGUUCAAAUAAUAAAAUCUACAAAAAAAUAAAUUAAUAAACUUAGAAACAAAACCAAAAAAAUUAAAAGAGUUGAAACGCGAAGGCGAGAUCCUUGAAGACUGAACGGAUUUCCCACAUCCGUUCAAGGGUUUGCUGUUCUCUUCUUCCUCUUACACGUUCUUCCUCUUACACGGCAUAACACAUACAUCCAUUAGAUAAGAGACUAAAUGAAACCAAACACCAAAAUAACAAAGCUUUAACAAUAAAAUUGUGAAAUGGAAGAAGAAAGGAGAAGAGACUAAUAUAGGAUGAGGGGACUGAUAUCAUUAAAUUUCAGUUAAUCAUAUCGGUUAAACACUAAAAUAGCUUGAAUAACAUUUAUAUUUAUUUUAAGUCACUGAUAUAUACACAUUAUCAAAAUUCAAGAACAUUUUUCCUAAAUUUUCCGUGGCUAACUUUCGAUUCUCUUAUCUUUAUCGAAUUGUCACAGGUGGCACGUUCUUCGUAUCUUUCACUGACACAGAAAUUCACACCCAUGCAUGGCCCGGGAAACUAAACCUUAUCCAUUUGGGCCUGUUCCACCGAUCCACCAAGUUCAGUUCGCACGUGUCAACUCAUGAUCCUCAAAACGACACCACCGCUUUCACAAAAAAUUACACCAACACGUGUCCAAGCACGUGGCAGAAGCAUCGUGCAACUCACAUGGCACGUGUCAUGCUUUUACGACCCUUGACCAGAUUUGUAUGCUUGGUUUCUCGUAUAAAAAGCCCAUGCUAGCAUGCUGCUUUUCAUCAACAACAGCACCUUCAAACACAACCUCCUAUAAUCACAACAACAUCAUCAACCAUGGCAAGUUAUCAGAAGCAGUACGAGGAUCAGGGUCGCAAGAUCGACGAGUAUGGAAACGUCGUAAGGGAAACUGAUGAAUAUGGCAACCCGGUUCAGGCUGCCAGUGUCACCUAUAUAACCUCCUCCACCGGCGGUGUUAGGGAUGACAAUAGCAAGCAACAUGAUACCAGUAAUGUCUACGGAUCAGACACCCGUAAACAACAUGGAACUAUAGGUGAUACCGGUAGACAGCAAGGACCAACCGCUGGCUUUACUGCUGACACUGGUAGACAACAUGGAACUACCGGUGGUUUUACUGGUGACACCCAUAGACAAUAUGGCACUACCGGUGGUUUGACCGGUGACACCGGGAGACAACAUGGGACUACCGGUGGUUUUACUGGUGACACCCGGAGACAACAUGACACCGGGAGACAACAUGGGACUACCGGUGGUUUUGCUGGUGAUACCGGGAGACAACAUGGGAAUACCGGCGGCUUCACUGCUGACACUGGUCUGGGAGGCCCUUACGUUGGAGCCAACACCGCUGACACAGGGACUGGUCCUAGAAGUGGAACCACAGGUGGCAGCGGCUAUGGAUCGGGUGGUGGCGCAGGUGGUGGUUAUGGAAGUGGAACUGGGCAUGGUAUCAACACUGGGGGAGCACACAGAGAUGAUGGGUAUGGAAGGGAGUAUCGUGAGCAUGACCAGUCUCGUGGAGAUCAGGACAAGAAAGGGAUAAUAGACAAGAUUAAAGAGAAGCUUCCCGGAGUACACAGUGACAACAGCAAGUAGAAACAUAUGUGUGUGUUUGCAUGCAUGUAUACUACAUAGUAUAAACAUGUUAUAUUGUUGUGUUUUUGAAUAAGUUUGCUGCAUAUAUACGUACUCGUACAGUACUGUCUUGUCGUGUAAAUGUGGUGGAUCUUGUAUAUGGUUAAAGUGUAUGCAAGAGGAAUAAAAUGUGCAUGCAUGCAAGGGAAAGAAGGCAUAGAUGUUCUGUUCUGCCAAUGCAUAUGUAAAACCUACCCUGUUGUAUAGCAGGGUGCUUCAGUUGUGUGUUUUAAAUUUUCCAAUGAAGCAACUUUUUAUUUCUUUCUUUCUUGAUCAUUUAAAUUUUAUGUGACCAGCUAUUUUCUGUUAUCACCUUCCUUAAUAUCUUUUUAACAUGCAUAAGAGAAAAAUUGUUAGAAAGAAUCACUGGUUUUCUUAAAAAAAUUAGUAGGAUUUGUUAUGAAGUUUAUUUUUUAAAGAUUCUAAUAAUACCUUAGAAUGCGCCAUUGAUUGAGUUGGUAGAGGUAGAUAGCAAUGUAUAAGUUUCAUAUAUAUAUUUAAGGUUUAAAUUAUUGAAAAUAACACAUGAGAGUAACUGUUCUCUGACAAUGUAAUUAGCUACCAGCUAAAUAACUUCAUAAACAGGAAAAUUAUUGCAGGUGACAUAAAUAGUACAUCCUCUUACAUACACACACACACACAUAUAUAUAUAUAUAUAUAUAUAUAUAUAUUCUGGUUUUCUCAAGCGAGACAUGUUUCUAUUUGAUUCUGGGUGGCUAAAAGAGUCCAAUUAUUGGUGAUUGGUUUCUGGUCUUCCAUUUCUUCAUUGUUCUCGGUCAAGUCUUGAAUGUCUAAAAUCUCAACUCUUCUGUUAGUUUUCUUCUUUAUCUUGAUUGCCACAUCUUGUGGGAUGAAUCUGCCACAUACAACUACCCUUGUCUGCUGCUUUUCAAGGAGAUGGCUGUCCAACUCUAACACAGUCAAAGAAAUUCAGAAAAUCUACAAUUCAACUCUAUUUCACAACUAUAAGAACUCACUGCAUAGAUAUUAAGAAUGAUGAGUGAAGCCUAAUGAUACCAUUUUUGUGAAAUUUCUGUAAAAGUUUUUUAACAAAGAAAAAUGUUAUAUUGCUCUCUGAACUGAAAUCCAAACAUGAACUAACCUGGCAUAUCAAGAAUGGCUCUCUUGACUUUUCUGUAACAUCCACUACAAUCAAUGUUGAUCCUCAUCACCAUGCAGUAAUGCUGCAACCCAAAGAAAACAAAAAAUUAUUCAGAUUAUCUUAAGCAUUUAUAGCUUGUAAACACUUUAGGUAAGUAAAAGAAGGUGAUUAGUGCUUGCUUUCACUGUCAUGAAACCAAUUAAUUAGGAAGAGAUAGAGAAACAGCUACAACAGGAACUUGAAAAUUCCAAAUAGUAGGAAUGAGAGCUAGGAAAAGAAAACUUAAUCUUAAAAGUAUGCAACAAGAAGCUUUGAGAGUCAAAAAGGGUUUAUAAUGAGCUGGUUAGCAUUUCCCUUGAUGAUGCUCCUUUAGUUUGCUGAAUCUGAUUCUUUCUGUGAGUAGCUAGGCAAAGGGAGACAAAUGUAGCUUACUUUGUCACAUUAUUCCUGACUUCUUUGUUACCGUUUUGCGCAUGCCACUACAUAAACAAAGGAAAGCAUACUUUCUUUUGGGGAAAAAAAGACAUGAAGAUCAUACUUCUGUUGGAAUAAAGUGAUCAGCAUGCAAAUGUUUAAGCAAAAGCAAAAACUUUUACUUGUGUUAUUUGAACUUAUAAUUAUUUAACAUCUAAGUAUUGUUGUCCAUAUUAGUACUGGUUUUGGUUUAUAAGUGUUCAUUCAAAAUAUCUUGUUAUCAAAAUUGAGAGAAUUUUACAAUGAGAUUAUUAACUUCUUCAAUGAUCAUUUUAAAAGUUAUAUGUAGAGUUUUUAAUUGAUUGAUUUAGAUGCAGGAAAAUUAAACUAUUGUAACUAUGCCUUACAUUUUUUUAAGUUUUUAAAAGAGUUAGUUUAUCACAGGAAGAAACAAGAAAUACAUGUUAGAUGAAACUCACACAUAAUGUAUGGAACAACUCACACAGAAAAGUGAUCAUUUAUCUAUUUUAGACACCUUCCAUAAACACUAACACAAACAACAAAAUGGUUUCUCUGAAUAAUUUCUUUUUUGUCCCCAAUUUGUGUCAGAUUAUUCUCUUGCUGUUUAUUUCUAAUCUUCCCAACAUAUUUUCACAAGACUCUAGCCCUUCAACCCCACCAUAGCUGAAUGUACAUCUAGCCUAAUUCCCCUUAUUCCUUGCACCCCAUUUGUGCAGGGUAGUGACCCUUCUCCAGGGUCACUAUGCUGUGGCAACCUCAAACAGAUCUACAGCCAAGAGCCAUAUUGUCUUUGCCUCUUGAUCAACAGAACACUUACUCUGCAGUUACCAGCUCUUUGCAACCUUCAAGUUAAUGCUAAUGCUAAUAUUCCUUCUGUUUAGGUUGUAUAAAUAAUUUAUUACUUAUAUUUGAAUGGUGUUAUUUUGAAUAAUUUUACGUUGAAUUGAUUUUUUUCUUUGUUUCUUUGACUCAGUGAAUCAAGUGCACACAUCCCAGGUUUCUUUAGGCACAAAGAAUAAUUCCAUUGUUAUCGGUAAACCAACAAUUUUUUUUUUCCUUUUACAAAUCUCCUAUUUUCUUGCAUUUUUAUUUAACAAUUUUUCCAUGAAGUAAUUAAACAAAUAUAAACCUUGUGAUACUUGCUUAUGAUUUUUAAUGAUCUUGCUCUUCUCUAUUUGUAGCUUCUCCUUUCGUAGCUUCUCCUGCAGCAGUUCCACCAACACCUGUCAUGAUGGGAUUUGGAUUUCGAAGUAACAAAGCCACUACCAUAAAUAUAAGGAAACCAUUAGUUGAUGUUAUUACUACAGCAUUAUUAUUUUUAUUUUAGUAAGAUAAUGUAAUAAGUAUAAUGAAAUACUUUGUAAACCUAAACCUAGACAUUUUAAAUUUAUUUAGAUUAUGAUUACAUGGAACAGAAAAAUUAUAAUUAUACUAUACAACUUUUACCUUCUCUAUUACUCAUUGAAUUAAAUUUUAAUCAUUAAGUUUUACACUUCAUGAAUUGUAAUCAGAAUGUAUUAUAAUCUUGACCAAACCAUAUUACCUGAUUAUAUAUAUAUAUAUAUAUAUAUAUAUAUAUAUAUAUAUAUAUAACAUUUUCAUUUCAAUGGAUUUGGUAUGAACCAAGACUGAAGAUUGUCAUCAAUGAUAUGUGAACAAUCAUAUGAAAUUUCCCUACUACUAACAAUGCAUAUACACGUAUAAUUAACUCACUUGAUCUAAUCUAUCUCAGAAGUGAUACACUAUAAAAAGGUGUACAAGUAUGUAGCAUUGCUUACAAAUUUAGCUCAGAAAAAGUUUGAAUUCAUUUGUCUGCAUUAAUAUGCCAAAAAUAAGGCAUAUUCAAUUUGCAGUAUCUAUGUGUCUAUGAAGACUCUAAUCCAAACUAGGAGCAACCUCUGUUGGAUUGGAAUCAAAUACAUCAGAGUCAUAUGCAUCAGUGUCUUCAAAAACAUCGCUGGAUUCUGAACUGGAGUUUGCACGGGACUCUGCACUAGACUCCACACUGGACUCCACUCCAGACCUCACUCCAUACUUUCUUUCCAUCUCGUCUCUCACUUCUUUUGGUGGUUCCUGAUAUGUAAGACAACCAUAUAGAGAAACACAUACCUGCAAUGACAGUGAACAUAAGGACAUCCAAAGAUUCAGUACAGAUAUCCAUUUUACCCUGCACACUACCAAAAUUUGGUCGAGAUCAAAGCAAGUUAAUAAUAGACAUAAAUAUUUACAUGAUGUUCUUUAAUAUUACAAUUUAAAACCUUGAUUGAACCAUCAUAGACAUGGAGUCUUUAGACUACCCACUUCUAUAAACCUUUUCUUUAACACAAUAAAGAAAACAAACAAAGCUUCAAAACCUUCUAUAUAAAUUAACAGUCUCAUUAUGUAUCUAAGAACAUAUAUGUGGCAUGUGGAUUCACCAACAAAUACCUAGCCUUUGCAUUACACUUUUUCGAUCCUUGAAUCCAUUCAAACACAACAAUGAGAAUUCCCUAGACAUUUUUAGGACGUUCAACCCCUCCCUUGCAACCCCUAUUUGAUGAACAUCCUCAAAUCGUGUCCUGUCAGUAAAGGUAGUUUUCUGCGAGUUAUCAAUGAAUGGGUAUGAUCUUUAAUGAAGUUUUAUGAAACUUUUCCUCUAAUACAUAAAAUGGUGAACUUGAGGCUCUACUCUAAUGCUAAAUUGUAAGAAUAGUCCUAUCUCUUCUAUCACAACAAUAAGAGAAAGUGUUUAACUCGAAACUUGAGUUUGUCCAAAAUAAACAAAACAACAGCCUAAUUCUUUCCUAUUACAUUAAAAAUGCACGUCUUUAAACUAAGAAAAAAAGUUCUGUAUUUAAUAACACAACGAAAAACAAUUCAUGAGAAACCCGACAUUGAUGCAACAAAACUUAGUAAAAAAAACACCAUUCUUUAAAAAACUAAAUGAUCUAACUACUCAUUUGAUCUCUACCUAUAUAAUUUCUAGGCUUUAAUCCUUGUAGCUAGCAACUACUCACUUUUGCCCUUACAUUUUUAACUUGCUUCAAUCUCUACGCGUAUUUUUUCUGAAUCUGUUUAACCCUACAGAUUUAAACAUUAAAAAACUAACACGAGCACUAUUGUAUAAGUUUAAAGAUAAAGGUUAAAAAUUAAAAUUUUAAAAAGCUAUCGGAGAGAGUUUAUAUAAAACUAACUUAUAUACAAAUAAAUUUUAAUUGCUUUUUUUUAUGGAAUUAACAUAAUUUAAACUAUUACAAGUAACUAAACUAAUUUAAAACUAAGAUUACAACAUUUUUCCCAGAAGUAACAACACUUCCCAAGCUCAACAAACAUGAUAUUGUUUAAACCUAAGCAAAACUACGCGAUUAUGUUAAACACUGAACUAUAAUUUCAUGAACAAACAGCAACACUUUCAGGAAUAAGAAGAAGAAACAAAGUUGAAUAGAGUGAUAUUAGUUAUAUAUACCGCGACACCGAAGCCAAUAAUCCAGGAAUACUGGACGAAGAAACCAAACAAGUCCCACUGCGGUCCUUCCCAGAGAUACGGUUCUUCCCGGAGAAAUUCAUUCACUUUGCUGUAAAGGGCAACAAAUUCCUCGUCCAGGGGAUCUUCGUCUUCGAUCUCCGCCGUGGCUUGCGGUUCGGUUACGGCGCGGAAACGAUGCGACUCAGAGAACUUCUUCGCGCACGCCACGUGUAGGUGAUUGCUUGGCGUUCGAAUUGACGAAGAAAAGAAACGGUUGCAGCGAGUGGUUGCGGUAGUGUUGCCGCAGGGGAUUAUCGCCGCGCCUCUCCCAAUGGGCACGGUGAACGCCAUGGGUGGAUGAGAAUGCUAGCAACGGAUAUUGAUAUCUAUUGUAUUUUACUAACUUAUCUUGCAUUACAUUUUUUUUUUCCAUAUAUUAAAAAAUUGAGUAUUCUCAAUAAUUAAUAAGAAAAUAUAUUUUCAAAAACAGUAUAAAACAAUUGAGACAAAUACUAAAAAGUAUAUUAAACUUGUGAAAAAAAUUACUCAAUAUAUACUCUUCCAAAAUUAGAAAUUAUCAAAAUUUUCUUAUUUUUUUUUAACUUUAUUAAUUUAUUAAUAAAUAAAUAUUUAUAAUUGACAAAUAUUUGAAGUAAUGAUUCUAUUGGACGACCGUUCGAUUUGUAAAUUACAAUCGUUCGAUUUCAAGAGUGGUAGAUGAUUGUACUUAUACAUGUUUAAUAUGUUCGAUCUAAUGUUGAUUGGACGGUCAUAUAAUACAACUUAUUUUUAAUGUUUAAUACAAGUGUGUGAAAUAAAAUGGAAAAGUGAUAAUUAAAUUUGAUUAAGAUUUAAGCUCCAACUUAAUUAAUCAAUAGUUAAGUAUACAAGGAAUGUAUGUGGUUAGUUUUAGAUUUUAUCAAAGAGUAGUAGUUGUUGUGAUAAAGUUCAGAGGUGAGAAUAGUGUUUUUGGGGAGUGUGUUUAUCAAAGAGGUAGAUCUUCAAGGUAUGGGCUGAAGUUAAAAUACCGUCAAAUAAUAAAGGGCCGGCCUUAUAAAUAGUGGCAUGAUUUUAUUUUGUUUUUAUUUUCUGUAAACUUACAAUGUACACAAGUUAACUGUUAUUCUAUCAAUGUGUUUCUUUAUAUUAAUUUCUCAUAUAUUGUUUAACUCAAUCUCCUGUUUAUUUGUUUUGGGUUGUCACAUUUUAUAAGUUAUGAUUGUUUUACUUUAUUUAGGAUUUCUACGACGGUCUUUGACCUUAAAAAAUAUGAAUUUGUUCAACAAAAGCAUUAAGAAAAAAAAAAGUCUACAAAAAAUUAUGAUUUGUAUAAAAUAAAACUUAAAUAAUAAAAAAAAUAUAUAAACUCGAUAUUUUAAUAAAAUAUUCAAGGUUCAUUUAAAAUGUCGCUUUUCUUUUUAACUUAUUUUGAAUUCUUACAAUUGUGAGGUUUGCACGCGUUGAUAGUUGUUAUAGAAAUAUUAUCACGAUGUGAUUAAGAAUAAAGUUAGUGAAUUAUAUAAAAUAUUAUAAAAUGAGCUAGACAAACAAAAAAUCAUAUGAUGAUGAAUAGUUAAAGAAAAAAUCAAUAAUCAGUUAGAUAUGAGAAUCAUCAAUAAUAAUUUUACUCAUAGAUGAUGGAGUCAAAAGAAGCCAAUAGACAUCCUAGGAUAGCAUAUAUAAUUAUUUGAGCGAAAAGUGAUACUGUUUAAUACUGUCAUAAAGGUCUUUUGCAAUGUUGGAUCAUCCUUCUCAAGCUUGGAAGAGCAAAAAAGAAAAAUAAAGGGUAAAACAAGAAACUGAAUUUCUUAAAUAAUUUAUUGGCUUGUAUCUUGGAUAUUUUGAUUAAAGAGUAGAUGUAAGUAAAUAAAAAGUUGAGGAUAAACUAUCUUAAAGAAAUUAUUGAAAAAUUUAGGUAUCAUUUUAUAAGAAUUUUUUUUAGAAAAGAUCAAGUCAUUACAAUUUGAAUUACAUUUAUUAAUUUUUAUUUAUUAUAUCUUAUGAUAGUCCGAUCAGUUAUAAUGAAAACGGUUAAUUAUAAUAUAAAUGGUCAAUUGUCAAAUUAGUUAUGAAUCACAAGUUCGGACGAACAACCAAUCCGUUCACAUGAUAUAUGAUUGAGACGAAAAGUUUAAUUACCAAAAAUAAAUGAGCGAGUCGACCGAUCACCAAAUAGAUUGACCAAUUACACGUUAGAAGUGAUGCUCAACUACUAGCAUAGAGAGCGAACCCACAAGUUCGGUUGACCACCAAACUGAUGUACAUCAAAUUGUGGUCAACCCUCAGCUCUAAGAGCAAACUAGCAAGCUCGGCCGACCACCAAACAGAUUAGUCCACCAUAUAUCAAACUAAAUGGUCAACCCCUAGCUCAGAAGCAAACCAGCAAGUUCGGUCAACCACCAAGUAAACCGACUUACCAUACAUCAAACUAGCGAGCCUAACUGACCAUAAAUUAGAUCGACCAACCAUGCUAUAUCUCAGAUAGUCAAGCAAUAGUUCGGAGAGUUGGCCACUGAGCUCGGAUGGUCACUAAACAUAUUGUUCGGCCUUGAAUUAGAUCAAUUUGAAUGAGCAAUACCAAAACUUAUUAACAAUAAAACGGAUUAACUUAAGAUUAAAACAUGAUUACUCAUAAUUGGAUUGUAAUUAGACUAACGUUAAUAAAAAAAAAAAAACCCACCACAACACCUAUAAAUAAAGGUUUGAGUUAAAAAGGUAGGUGACGUGCAUUAACUAUUGCAUAUUGUUAUCUCUCAAACGCUGAACUAACUUUGACAUCAGAGUACCUUCUAUAGGUACUACCAGACCAGUUUGAAUGCAUAGGAGACCGCUCACUAGAGAAUAAUUGGAUCUUAGACAACAUAAUAGGACCUAAACAGAUAACCUUGACCCAUACCCAAAACGUUUAUCUUUAAACUUCAAUCGGUUUGAAUAUACAAAAGACUGUUCACUAAAGAAUAAUUGAAUCUUAGACAACACAAUAUAACCUAAAGAGAUGACAUUGACUUCACACCCAAAACAUUUAUCAUUAAAAUCUUUUACAUUUUAAUUAUCAAAAGACAUUUUACUAAACAAAAAUUAAACCUCAAACAACACAAUAGAAUCCAAACAGUUAAUCUUAACCCACAAUCAACACAUCUAUCAUUAACGUAUAUUUUAAUUAUUCACCUCUUGCGUUUUUUCACCCUCCUCCACGAUUUGUAUAUUUAUUUUAUUUAUUUAUCUUUUCAUUAUAGAAUUCCCAUAUUGACUUUAUGAUAAGAAGCAAAUUAAUUUUCAUGAAAAAGGCCAAGCAACCAAUAUUUGUUUCAAUUAAUUUCGCUAUGUCAUCAUCAUGAUAUAUAGUGGGUAAAAUCAAUUAUUGUAUAUUAUCCAAAUAUAUCACCAUCAUGUACAAUUUCCUUUUUCCUAAACAAUCAAAUGACCUCAGUGAUUGCUUUUCUUCCCAUCAAAUAAAUCUAGAAAAUAAUCUCUUCUCCCUUUCUUCCUCCCACUUUCUAAACCAAACAAAAACAUAAAAGUUUCACCAUUUCAGCACAAAAACCACUCUUUUUCAAGUUAUAACGUAACAACCAUUAAUAAAUAAGGUGUAACGUAACGCUAACCAGUAAUGCCAACACCCUUUUUCUCUUUCGAGUUUCAGAAAGAAAACCAAAUUGCAAGUAACCUUUUAAAAAAUAAUUGAUAUAUUUGUUCGACAGUCUUUCUUAAAAAUUGAUAUUUAUACUAGAAUCAACCUUUUCAAUUUUGCAAAAUAUUAAUGUAGAACCCAAAAAUUAUACUACAUUUGCAACAUUUGUUUUACUUUUUAUUUCUAUAUUCCAAUAAUUUCAUAUUCAUUACAAUACUUUUUUAAAAAAGAGCAGUAUAAACAUAUUAAAAAAAUCUCAAAAUUGUUUAUUAAAAGUAUCUCGUACUAAAGUAAGUAAAACGUUAUUUAAAGCAGUUAACAAUCUUCAGGUUCACAGAAAAUACUUUAUCCAUAAAUAAAACCAAAAAUCAAAAAAACAAAACUGAAACAAUGAAACGGUGUCGUCAAAGAGCCAGUUUGUUUCAAUUGAAUUCAUCGAAAAAAACCGAAGCAACAAACAAAUCUUAACCCUACAACUUUUCACAUCUACACCUACAUUUCUGUGCUACUUUUUUUUUUCUCUUCAUACCCCCAAAUUUUCCUAGAUUUACAUUUCCACCCCUAAGCACCGUUUUACUAACCCCCACCACAAAACUUCACCCACCUUCACCGCCGUCACGCCACCGCUUACAUAGCCUGUAAGGACUCCGACCGCCACAAAACAUCCGCAGCCGAAUCCGCAUAAUCGAACAACCCAUCCACGGUCACGAAACCCCCGGCGCCACCGUCACUCUCCGCCGCGAAUCCAGAACCAAACCCAAACGCGUCAAAACCCGGAACAUAAUCCUCAAAGCCAUUGAACCCGGCAAGCUCCAACAAUGCCGGGUCAACCCGACCCGGUUCUUCCUCAACUGCAGCCUCGGUCGGUGGCAACCCCAGCUCAUCAUCGGAAGCUUCGAGUAAAUACCCCAGCUUGGUCUGCAACUCGCCUGAAUCAGGCACCUGGGUCGGGUCAUUCGGGUCCAAAUCCAAAGUCGGAGCCUUGAUUUCAUCCUCGAAGCUUUUGAUGACCGAAUCGAGACCCUGCACGGCGUCACGGUCGGGCACAUUGUCGGCGUCGUCGAGCAUGUUAAAAAUGUCGUGUUGAAGCUGCACAUGGGAGUGGAGGUAAGACUCGGUCGAGUCAACCCGGGGAAUCUUGGACUCGGGCGAGUCGGACGAGUUGGCAGCAAACUCGUGACGAACUCGCUUCUUGGUGGUUUCCGCCAUGGAAAAGUUGAAAAAAAGAGUGAUUUUAGAGAGAGAAAAGAUGAAUGAUUUGGGUGGGAAGAAAGAGAAAGGGUGAAGGGUAUUAUAUAUAAGGGUUGGAAAAGUAAGAUAGGCUUUGUCUACUUUAAUUCCUAAUGCAAGAUAGUGACAGGCGCGUGCAUAUCGCUGCAUAAUAAAACACAACUCCAUUCACGGACGUCUCCUUUUUUUUUUUUCUUUCACACAAACAAUAACUUUUUUUAAUAUUCAUAACAAAAUAAUUACUUUUUUUAAUAUUAAUCACAUUGUUUAUCAAGUAAAUCAAUGGAUUAUAGUCAAUACUUUUUUUUUCCCAAAUUUAAUUCCCGGAAAUAGAAAAAUCAUGAAAGAGACACGUGGAUAGAUAGAUAGAAAGAUAGAUCCUGUUGUAUUAAAUAAAUAGGUAGUAUGACAUUAAAUUAAGAAAAAUAAAAAAUAAAAGUUAAAAUAUGAUGUUGUGUGUGUCGUUCUGAGUUUUCCUUUUUGGCGUGUAAGAUCCGUUGGCCAUUAUUGCAGAUAGCUGAUUUUUCUUUUCUGGCAAUAAACUAAAUUUAAUUUGGGUUUGGGUUCCGGGGUGGGGACCACGUAAUAGGAAACAUCAUGUGUGUUUUUUUUUUUAUUAUUAAUUAGGUUUAUUUUUUGAAAGUUUGGGAUUUGGUGGAGUGGUCAGUGGGUCACACCACAGGUGGUGGUAGAUUCUUGGGUUGAGUUGAUUUUAUUUUUAUGAAUAUUAUUAUAAUUAUUUUUAUUUUUAUUGUAGAAAUAUUAGAUAGAUAAAGAUACUUAGAUAACAUUUUUUUGUAACAUUUGAAUAUCAUCGUAUCAUUGUGUGAGUGGUUCAUGGGGGUGUUAUUUUAUUAUUUGAAUCAAUCAUACAAUGAUACAUAUAAUGAUAUUUAAAUAUUGUCAAAAAAUGUUGUCUAUGUAUCAUUAUCCUAUUAAAUAUAGGUUUUUAUUUUAAUGAAUGAUGAAAGGCUAAAGGAAAGAAGGUUCUAGUUAGGCUAGGGUUAUGAUAAGAGUACUGAUGGUGUUGGAUUCUCUUCUAACCACCAACCACUUGCCUUUCUCCUUCAAUCUCUAUCAUGUAUUAAUCUUCUUUCUUAUAUUAGUAUAAUAACAUUUCAACAAUAAUACUUUUUAAUAUUUUAAUAUUAUUUAUAUGUCAUUUUAUAGUUAGUUUAAAAUUACUUCAAAAUAAACACUAAUAAUUAAAUUAAUUUGCAUUUGUAAAAUAUUUACAAGUAUCCGUUAAAUAUAACACUUUUGUAUUCAUAGCUGUAUAUGCACACAAAAUGUUGUCCCAGCAUAUGUGUGUAUAGUACAUUUGUUGGUCUCGUGUUUGUACUUAUAUAAGUUGUCGUGUUAAGUUAAAACACCAUCAUCACAAUGAUAAUAAAAGAGAAUAUACUAACAUGUAAGAGCAUUGAUUGAAUACUAUGUAAUGUAACAUACAAUGAAUGACAUAAUUGAUGUAAUAAAUUAUUAACUCUUACACUGCUUCACCAAAGAUCAUGUAUGAAUCAUGCAACUAUUUAUAUAUAAGACUAUAUGAUAUUGGAGAAAUAUAUCUAAUUAUAGCAUUUGUGAUUUACAUAUAUUAUAUCUUUAAAUAUAUAACUAACCAGUGCAAUAAGGAUCUCCCUGCAAAAAUAAUGCAUUUGUAUAAUUUAAGUUAUUCGUAAACAUCACUUGGGAGUUUAAAACAAGUUUAAGAAUCAGAUUUUGUUUUAUUAAUAAAAUAAUUUAUACUAAAGUGUAUCAUAAUUUUUCUCAAAUUAUUUUCUGAGUAAUAAAAUUAAUUUAUACAGUUCAAUGACUUUACUUUUUUUACAACACUAAAUAAUAUAUCAAAAAUAUCUUCGUAUAUUUUAAAUUAUUCAACUAUUUUGAAGAUGAUAAUCGUUUUAUCUACAGUAUAUAUUCUAGGUGAUUUUAUAAUAGAUUUUAUAAAUUUUUAUCUUCAACAUUUUUAUCAAAAUGUUUCUUUAUACAACUAAUAUGUUUACAGAUACUUAAGUUUUAUAUUAAUUUCAAAACAAUUCUCUUAACAAAAAGUCAAUAUAUUUUCAAAUCAAUUUUCUCUCUAAUUUAAAAAAAAAAUAAAAAAUAUUUUAAUUAUUCAAUAACUUUAUCAAUAAUACAUAUAUACACUUUUAUUAUAAACUAUUAUAUAUGGAUUUAAUCCAAAUGUCAUAUCAAAUAUUAAUUUCUAACAAAUAUUUAAAGUUUUACAAUUCUGGUUAAACAAACAACUUUAUUUUAUAUUCUAUAUCACUACUAGCUUUAAGUAAUUCAAAUAAAACAUUUAUUUCUCUUAAUAAAUAUUAGUAAAAAUUAGAGAUAAUUAAUUAUUCCAUUUUUUAAACAUAAUUGUAAUUUAUUAAAGAAAUUAUUUAAUUGUUAAAUACUACUUUUAAUACUAAUAAAAAAUAAUUAUGUUUUGUAACAUUCUAAUAAUUACCAUAAGAUUCAUUACACUAAUUUUAAUAAUAAAAAAAAUAAUUUAAGAAUAACUUUUAAGUUACCAUCACAGUUAUCUAGAUAUAACAUAUAAUAAUAUACAAGGUUAUGCAAUACUAUGAACAAAAAAUGAAAUCAACUCCUUUCAAAAAUAAAAGAGACUAACGAAAUGUCUUACUCUAAGCUUCGUCUCCGUCAUCUUCAAGAGAAACAUCUUCCUCCGCUCACAUAAUUAAAUUAAUCAUUACAAAAGAAUAGACAAACAUACAAGCAAACAAGAACAAAAGGGUAAACUAAAUUGUCGAAGAAACAUUAAUACAAUUGAAAUACAACAAUUGACAUAUAUACAAGUUAUAUCAAUCCAUUAAUAAGCACACAACCAUGAAUUUUAAACUUGAUUGUUCAGACCAGUAUUGAUGUGAAAUAUCGGGAGACCGUGCACUUGUAGUGGUAAUACCCAAUCCACCUCGGCGCUUUGUCGAGCUAUUACUCACAACAUUAGUUAUUGUCAAGGUCAUAAGAGCCUUGGGCUCGUCCUUAUGACAGGACCUCCUACUUCUCUCACCACAUAACCAUCAUACUCUACUUGAGAAAGAAUGGUUAUUAAAGUAUCAAGGUAACCUCCAACGUCUAAACACCCAAUAAUACUCACACUACUAAAAAUAUCACCAUAAAUCUCUCCACGAGAUCCAUGGGAUUACACCAACCAAAUAUAAAAUAAACAUAAAUCAUUCACAUAAUCAAUAACAACUUGUUAUCAUCAUAGUAUCAUGUAUGAAAAAACAUUAUACAUGUUUACAAGUAGUCUUUAACCAUACUAACAUUCAUAUUUAAAAUUAGCAAAGCAUAAACAAUCCCCUCUAAUUAUACAUAUAAAAUCAGUAUUACUGAAAUAAACCCAGUUUAGGACAUGAAACACAAAAAACCAAAAACAUAACCAACAACAGGGUGCGUUCAACGGUACAGAACCAUCACUCAACGUCUUGCAUCUAGAGACCAAAAUCCAUGGCACUAGAAGGCCAACGCUCAACAUUAUAUCAACGACCCUCUGUGUCACAUUAGAAACUAGGAACUUAAAAUCCUGAUUUGAUUGCACUCAAGAUCUAUCCAAAUGACCAAAUUUCUAUUCUUGACAUUGUGAUUGAUUUGAAAACAUAUUUAAACAUUUGGCUGAAUACUAAUUUGCCCAAUUGUCCAAUGACUCAGUACAUCAUAUCAAACCAACAAUCAUCACAUCCCAAACAACAAACUUAGCAUAUCAAAAUACCAUAUUUCAGCAAAACAAAAAACUAAGUCUCGAAUGAAAAAAACACAAACUCCUAACAUCAAACACCUUUAAAGAAGAGUCCCCAAAGAAUAUUACUCGUUAAACCACCAAUUCAAGACCAAUUUCUAAACAAAAUUCUAACUUAUUACCAAAUCAAUUCGACAUCAAUUUCAACCAAAUUAAACAAUUUCAACCAAAUUAAGCAAUUCAAACAGCACACCAUCAUAAUAACUAGAGUAGAUUUAAGUAUUGAUUCAAUCAACUAAAGCAACACUUUACAUCAUUCACAGACCAUAAAAAUAAGAAAUCACGCAACAAGCAAUCACACAAUAAUUUCCCAUACCAAAUCUCAAAUCAAAUUCAACGUGCAUAACAGAUUAUCAAAGCAUUAACAUCAUAAAAAGGUGAUAGUUAGCUUUCUUCACCCGUUAAACGGCCGAAAAUUUUUAAAGAACUUAAAAUCACUCACUUAUCUCAAAGAAUUCUAUAUGUACUUAUAAACCACAAAAUCAUGAUCAGGAUAUGUCGUUAGAACCACUGAUCAACAAAGAACCUAAAGGAAGACUCAAAUGACACAUGCAUAGAAAACUGAUCACAUGCAAUGAAAAACAUAAAAAUUAGAUAAAAUAUAAAAAAACUAACUUACUCUGUUUCAAGAACUAACCAAACAAACUUGAAAACCUUCCCGCAUUGAUAACUUUAGCAUCUUUGAUCUUUAAACAAUGUUAGAUAUAUUAUAUUUAGUUUAUAUUUAUCUCUUAUCUUUAGUUAGUUAGUUUAUAUUUCAUAUGGUAUCAGAGCCUGGUUCUCUGAUUCUUUAGUCAUUAUCUUCGCUGUCUGCGCGCGGGCGGCCACCAUGGCCGCCGGCAGCCCGGCCAAGAAAGGCCACUGCAUCCGCAGUGCAUCACCGCUACUCGUCGUCGGUCAUCAUCCUUCACCGGAACUUCGUCGGACCUUCCCCUGACCUUUCGCCGGAGCUUCGUCGGACCUUUCGCCGGACCCUCGCCGGACCCUCGCCGGACCUUCGUUAGAACCUCGUUGGAAUCUCGCCGGAAUCUCGCUGGAACCUCGCCGGAGUUCCAGAAUCAACUGAAGACCGCUCCAUCCGAAUCGCCUCUUGUGGUCGUUGAGGCCAUCAGAGCAUGUUGAAUUUUUAGGGUUUCUUUCUCUCUCUUGUUUAUCCAUGGCUUCUUCCGUUGUUGUCUCUUCUGACCUCUCUUUUUACCGUUGCGUUUGACCCGUCCAUAUAUGCUUUUUUCAUGGAAAAGAUGGUCUGUUGUUAGUUUAUUUAUAGCCGUGGUGGCUCUUCGACAAUUACCUCUUUAUCCAAUGGCGGCAUUCUUCAAGGGCGAUUUGCAAGAAGAGAUUUACAUGGAGCAACCUCCCACAUUUGUUGCUCAGGGCGAGUCUUUUGGGUUGGUAUUUUGUCUUCUAUGUCAACUUGCAAAUCAUUAGCAAUUUGGUGUCUCUCAAGUGGGAAGCAGAUAUUUUCACCAAGUUUUUAUGGCUUAUUUUAGUAACAAGCUUGGUAAAUACAAUCUGUAUGCUCCAGCUUGAGGAGGAGUGUUAGAUAUAUUAUAUUUAGUUUAUAUUUAUCUCUUAUCUUUAGUUAGUUAGUUUAUAUUUCAUAAACAAAUAAUCUAACAAGUGACUUGAAAUGAUGAAACCUUCUUUGUAAAAUUUUUAUUUAUAUUUUAAACUUUUUAACAUUAAAAUAUUUGAGUCUCAUUAUCUAAAUCACAUUAUUAGUUCUAAAAGGAAACUAUUUAAACAUUAACAUUGCUCAUAAUAUUUUAAUUAAGUUUUAUUCUCAAAUAUAAUUUUACAACUAAUUUAAUAAAAAUAUAUUAAUACUAAAAAAAUUAAAAAAACCUUAAAACUAAAAUUUUACUUUGGACCUUAUUUCUAAAAUUUAAUAUUCUCAUACUAUAGUUUAAUUCUAUCAUAAAAUGUAAAAGUUAAUCGACACCAUUAUCUUGCUAUAAAACAAGAAACUAACUCUCGUUCAUCUUUACAAGUAUUAACCAUAUAACUAAAUAAAUUGAGGUUUAAAUAUAAAUUAAAUUUUCUUUUACUUUUCAUUUAUAAAAAUAAGUUACUGAAAUUUUGGCUUAACUAAAAUUGUUUUCUUUAUUUGAUUCUCUUUCUUUAUACACAUCAAACUUUUGGUACCUUUUUUUAAUGAGAAAAAACUGUUCUUAUCCACUUGAGCAUUGAUUUUAGUACCUUUUUUUCCCAUUAGAAAAACUGUUGUCAUUUACUUUAACAUUAAUUGGGAUCCAUUCUCCCACCUACUUUUCUUGGGUCCUUUUUUUCUAUAAUUUCUCACUUGCAAGUGUAAACAAUUAAGAUUCUUUUUUUAAUUUUUAUUAAUCUUUAGUCAAUCCUAUAUUUUAGAAUAUUUUAUUUUAUUUUUUAUAAAGUGAGUAUAAUUUAAAAAAUGAAAAAGAUGAAUAUAAUUUGAAUAUUAUAUUUUUAAAUGAAAGGUAAUGAUAACUUUACAAUAUUUUUUACGAUAUUUUAAUAUUAUCGAUUGAUUUAUAUUAAUGUUUAUAAUUGUUAUUAUUACUUAUAGAAUAAUUUUAAAUCACGUAAUAAUUAAAAGUUGUUAAAAUUUCAUUUUUUUUUAAAUAAGUUAAAAGAAGUGUAGAAAGCACGUUCUCUCUUCACCGAAGCAGCCGCUGACAAUGUUCUCCUCGUGGCAUCUGAAAAGUUUGAUAGAUGAGAACUUCUUUUCUCUUCUACCACGUCACAUUCGAAUAAACCUAUUUGCAGCCUUUUCUUUUUCUUUUUUAUAUUAUCCAAAUCUUUUUUCUUUUUUUCUUUUUAAACUUUCAGAAAGCUUCUUUACUUUUUAUUUUUUAACUUUGCUAAAAAAAUAUGGAGAGCACAAGUAACGGUAAGAGAAAGUAACGAUAUGAAAAGUUGAUUUUUAUUAGAAAAAUAUUCUUUGAUAGAUAUAAAUUUUGAUUUAUAUUUAUUUGACAUUUUUUUAUAUUUUAUUAUUUUCUUUUUUAAAAAAAUAUAGAAAGUUAUAGUAAAAGUAUGUUAUAGUAUGAAUAUUUUUAUAUUUAAUAGUUAAAAGUAAUAAAAAAAAGUUACCUAGAAGUGGAAGAAAUGGUAGGUUUUUUGAAAGGCAAGAACAGAGCAUGUUCCUGGUCUUGUCUUCCUCAACGCGGUCACAUUGAUGACAUCUAAAUGUUAGAAAAAUGAAAAGAAUGGUCCCAAUUAGAUAUGUGAUAUUGUUCUCUGACAUCUUGGCCCACCAAAACCUACCAUAUUAUCGCUACCACUAUUCCAACUUGCUACAUCUCUCUUCCUAUAUUCGGUUAUUCAACAAUUUUCUUUCAUAAUUUCAAACUAUAAUAUCAAAUUUAUUUUUCUUCAUGACUUCAUUUCUUAUCAUAAAUAUCUUUAUGCUUUCUCUUUUUCAGUUUCAUUCUUUCUUUUAUCUCAAAUCUAUAUCUAUUUAAAAAACAAAAACAUCAUAAAUAAAUAAAUAAAUAAGUUUUUUCAAAAUAUUGUUUACACACUAUUGCAAAAAGACUUUAGACGUUGGUUAUUUUGGACAUUUAACCUUACAUCAGAAACAAACAUCUUUGUGGGUGACGUUAAUAAGACGUCAGUUUUCUGCAUGUGCGACGUCGUUAUAGAUGUCGGUUAAGGUCAAAGCUCGACGUCUAUAAAGACAUCAGACAUUACACUAACCGACGUCUAAGGGCACCCUAGACGUCUGUUUAGUGACAUGUCCGAUGUCAAUAAAGUCGUCAAACAUUGCAUUAAUCGACGUCUAUGGGCACUCUAGACGUCAGUCAUUACAUUAGCCGACGUUUAUGGCACUAUAGACGUCUAUCAUUACAUUAAUCGACGUUUAUGGUGUGUUGUGUUUUGAUGCGGUUUUUCUCGUGUCUUUGGGUAGCAUAGUAGCACCUCCUUCCUUUGCUAGUUUUCUCGUAAGAAAAAAUUGUGUCUUUUGGAUUUCUCAUGGCAUUUCAACCCAAAGAUGAACUUGUGUCGUUGCCUAGGUCCACUCCGACCGCCAAUGAAGAAAGAAUACGGUGAGAAUAUGGUGACACCGUAUUCUCACAGUUUUCUUUUUCAAUGGCGGUGGGAAUAGCUCUAUGUAAGGACCCAGGUUCGUGUUUAGAUUGGAAUGCCAUGAUAUAUCCAAAAGUCGUAAGUUUUUCUUAGGAGGAAACUAGCAAAGGGAGAAGGUGCACCACGCUACCCAAAGACAAAAGAAAAACCCGCACCAAAACACAACAAAAACACAUUUUAAUCGGUUCAAAUAAAAGAUAAUACAUCAAAGAUUAUUUUAAUCGGAUUAAAAAUUAAAAGCAAGUUUAACCAUAUCAAAAGAUAUUAAACGCACCUGUAAAUUCAAAGGAGCAGAGAGAAAAGCAAAGGAAGACGAUGAAGUGCACGAAACUGCUGGUUCGUAAUCUCUGUUUUAAAAAGAAAUUCAACGUCGGUUGCACAUGAGCCCAACGUCUAUAAUGGAAAAGACGUUGGUUAACUCACUAAUUCGACGUCUUUCUGAUUUAAAAAUUAACAUUCGCGGGGCUUAUAAACGUCAACUACUAAGGCCACUGACGUCUAUAUAUGAUUAUAGACGUCAGUGAAGAGGCAUCUGACGUCUACUUGAUUGAAAGGAAUGACUUUUCACCUGUCUGGCAGACAUAUAGACGUCGACUAUCGCUUACCUUACGUCUAUAGGCCUGAUAGGUAGGUGAAUAGUCAUUGAUGUCCACCAUAUAAAUGUCAGUUUGGCAAGAUCCGAUGUCUAUAUGACGGAAAGGAAUGACUUUUCACCUGUCCCAUAGACAUAUAGAAGUUGGGGUCGCCCUAACUGACGUCUAUAUGUCUAACAGGUAAGUGAACAACCAUUAAUUUCCGCUAUAUAGACGUCGGGUCCUGUCCAACUAACGUCUAUAUGUCUGAAAAAAAUGACUUUUCACCCACCUAUCAGACAUAUAGACGUCAAUUAGGACAAUCCCGACGUAUGAAAGACUAUAGACGUCAAAAUCCUUAUAAACUGACGUCUAUAUGACCAACUUAUUUAUAAAAAUACUAUAGACGUCGGGUCCUGUCUUACAUAUAGUCGAGCUUACUCAUAAUUAAUAACAUUAAACAGCUUUUUUACUAGUCACAUUAUUUUUAAUUUGAAGUUAUUUAUACAUAGAUAAAAGAUUUAUUUAAAAGAACAAACAACAGGCAAAAGUUGUACGGCACACAGCAUUUGUUAAUACCUUGUGCACUUUCUCGGUGCAAGUCACUGUGGCGGCUUUCGCAUUUCCCCAUGACACCAUUAGCCAUGCACCGUGCCAACUCAGUCCUUCCACUUCACACGUGCCACUCUUUCCCCUAUUACGUGCCAAAAAUGUUUUCUAAUAAAUAUCACUUAAAUAUAAACUAAUAAUUGUGCUAUAAUUUCAAUUUUCUUUCAUUCGUGACGUGGGUGCAUUUGGAACACUCAAAUCAAAACCACCAUAAAAAAAAUUUACUAUUUUUACAUUCUUAUUACUCCCUUAAAUAAUUUUGUAAAAUUAAAUUCUUCUUUAAUCUAAAAGUCUGUUCAUUCAGACACUAUUUUUACCAAUUCAUAUGUACUUUUUUUCAUUUUUAUUCUUUUCAGUAAAAUAAAAUUAUAUUUUAUAUGACCUUUACUAAAAAUGUUAAAAAAGAAAGUGUUUUGAAGAAAAUAAAUAGAUAAUAAUAAUUUGAAAAUAUUUUUUAUAAUAUUUUAAUAUUAUUUUAUAAUUAAUAAUAAUAAUAAUCAUAAAUAUUAAUAGAAAAUAACCAUUAAAUAAUAGGUAAAUAAUAUUAAAAUAUUGUAAAAAGAAAUACGAAAAAUAUCAUUAUAAGAAAACAAAUUCUGAUAACUUUUCCCGACAAUUGCUCAGUGUAUCGUGAAUGCGGUCUGAUUUGUUUGGUCUGUCAGCACCGCUACCUAAAACCAAUCACAACAUUAAUGAGAUAAGUGAAGAAAUCUUAAUAUUAUGAAGUUGUACAAAUGAAAAGCUUUUCACAUGCACCUCCGAUUUGACUUUUCAGUAAAGACAGGUACAUUUCCCUAUAAACAAAAAAUCUCUCAAAAUCAAAUUAAAACUCUCUUGUCAAAUUUAAUCUUAAAAUACUCCUACAAAAAUAAUAUUUAAAUUUCAGGCAUCUUUUUAAUUAAUAAAAUUAAGUAAAUAUUAAUAUUUCAUCAUUGAUGUGACUUAAUAUUUCAUAUUGAUAAAAUAAUGAUAUAUUUCAUCAUUAAUUUAAAUUUGCUUUAUUUAAUUUUUUAAAAGAUUACUAUACAUCGUAAAUAUAAAGUUUUGAUGCUCAUAUUAUUUUUGUUCAUAAAUAAAAUACGUGUGCAUAAAUAUGGCUCAGUCUAACUACAUAUAAUUUUUAUGUACAUUUUAUUUUUUGUGUGUAACUAUUUCUUAUUGUUAUAAAUGGUUGUAAUAGUAUACAGUGAUUAUCUAACAUUUUUUUUUCUUUCAGACUUUACUUUCCAACUUACUUUUGACUUUUGCUUUUGUAUUUUAAAUAGUCUUUUAACUACAGUUUUACGUCCACCAGAUAUGUAUGGUGGAAUGGUUGAACUUUUUUUAUAUAUAAAUUACUUAUUUGUAUAAUUAAAUAAGUGACCAAAUGUAUUCGUAUGGGCCUUAACUGUACGCCAGUAGAAAAUUGUCUCGUAGAGACAUAAUUAAGAAUUUUAUAAAUAAAAAAUAUAAUUAUGAAAAUUCAGCAGACACAUUUUUUAUUGUAUAUCAGUUAUCACAAAAAAAAGAAACUGGCUGGUUUUCGGUCUAAAUUGUAGUUUUAGUAGGUGAAUUUUUAUAAGAAUGAUUUUAAAACUACAAGUAAUGUUUGUGAGUUAUUUUUAGAUAAUUUCAAACUAGUAUACAACCUUAAUUAACCAUGAACCUGGUGUUUAGUUGAUAAGUAGUUAAUAGGUUAAGUUUUAGGUUGUUUUUGGUUCAUUUUAAGAGUUUUAACAAGUGAAAAAGUCUAAAGGAGUAGGUUUGUGAUAAAACUGGAGGUUUGUAGUAUGUUUUCAAGUCAAUUAUGACUUGUUUAGACACUUAGUUUGCUAAAUUUUGGUUUCUAUAGUGUAAAAUUGGUCACAGGUAUUUUGAGUUGUUGGUUGAUCUAGUGUAUAUUAUUUAUGACCAAAUGAGAAAAGUGGUACUUAGUUUAAGUCAUAAACAUGUUUUUGCAACAAUACUAGUGUCGAAUAAACCAAUUUGGUCAUUUGAAUAGGUCUAGGGUGCACCUAAAUCAGAAAAGCAAGUUUGUCUUCUGGUAUGGUAUUAAGCGAACCUAAGUGGUGCUCAACGCUGUCAAAACAUAGAGCCACUAGGAUCUAGGGUGUUUAGCGCCACUUUUCCAACAACUCAUAGUACGUUAACUGGAAAAACUUCGCUCAACUUGUAGAAUAUUUUAUCUACAUAUAGAGACAUCACAAGAACAAUCAGAACAUACCACUAUUAUCAUUGAUCAACAAAGACUCAUAUAGAUGACGAAAAAAGUGCAUGCAAGUGAAAGAAUAUCCACAUUCAACAAAUAAUAAAAAAAAAAACAAAAAAAAUGUUCAAACUCAACUUACGUUAAUAAAAAAAUUAAUCACCUCAAAUUGAAGAGCUAGUGAGGGUCAAUUAUUCAAUCAGAUGAAUAUAAUUUUCUUUAUAAAAAAAUAAAGAAUUCUAAUAAAAGUUUAUAAAAGAAUUAUAUAUUUUAAAAUAAUAAAAAUGGUUCAUAAUAAAACUAUUUAUAUUUUAAUAUUUAAUGUUAAAAUAAUUUAGUCACGUGAUAUUAUCACUUUUUUAUGGUUUUUGUUCUUUUAGGUUUUUACAGUAAAUUUAUUUGGAUAAUGUAUGCUUAAUUGUAUAAUUGUAUAUGGUGUUAAAGUUAUUAUAAUAUUUUUGUAUAUUGUAAUUUAUGUUCUUAUUUAAAUUUUAAAUAGCAUUAAAUUUUUCUUAUUUUUUAUGUCAUAAAAUUUUGACAUGUAAAGAAAUAUUAAUACAUGCAAUAGAUUUUCUCAUUAAUGAUAAAAUAAUUUACGUGUUGAUUUGUAAUGUUUUGAAAAUAAUUGAAUCAAAAUUUUGAUAGAAUAUAGCUAAGAACGUGUGAUAAUUGACUUCUAAUCCCUUUCACACAAAAAAAGAACUUCCAAAUUGAGAAGAUAAGAGAAAAAUCUUUAAACGCCCUAAUAUAAGCAUCUUUUUAUAGAAAAAUAAAUAAGCGUGUAUAAUACUAAUAAACGAAAGAAAUAUAAAAAGUUCAAAUUUUGUUAAAGAUUUUUGUUUCAUAUCUUUCCGUUUAUAUUUAUCAAUUAUUUUCAUAACAUUAAUUUAUUAGAAUUAAAAAAUAUAAGUUGCUAAUAUUUUUUAUCAUGAAAAAAAAAUAUAUGUAUAUAUGAUGUGAGUUUUAAAAGUCACGUAAAUUAUUUAAUAAAAAAUAAAAUACCGACAGGAAAUAUCUUAAAUCAGUGACAUUAAACUCCCAACUAAUAUCCUAAGCUCUUACUCUAUUGGUUUUAGUAUGUUGUUUAAGAUUAUUUAUUUAAAAUUUAAUAAUUAAUACUUUUUUAGUUUUUUAAUUUCAACAUCACCAUAAAUAUGUAUAAAUUCAUUAAAGCAGAAAUAAAUUUAAGUAACAAAGUAAAGACUAAUGUUAUCUUGAAUUUUUAAAGUUAUACUGAAUUUUUAAAAUAACAGUUAAGUAAAUAAAAUUUCCCAAUUAAAAAGUAUAUAGAAUGAUCUUUUAUUUUAUUUUUUAUAAAAAAUAUGAUGAUAAAGCAACUAAUAUCUACCAGCAAAAGAAAAAAAAAAUAAUAUUUGGAACAUAAACAGUAUCUGUGAAAGUACCAACGUGUCCCUCUUGUUGGGUAGAAAUUUUCGAUGCAGGGAAAGGAUAAUGAAAUCGAAGAUUUCUCGGGAUAUGACGUGUUUGGUUUGGCAGAUAGAUAACUGCGUUUCAGGAAAAUCAUGUAAUUAUUUUAAGCUGAAUAUAAAACGACGUCGCUGUUCCCCAUUGCAUCACGUCUUCUGCCAAGUGCCGACACAAAUUAUUUAAAUAUUUAUACCAAAAAAUAUUGUUUAAAGGGUUAAAUAUGUAUUUAGUCCCUAUACUUUAGGGCGAUUUUGGUUUUAGUCCCUCUUUCAAAUUAAGGUACAAUUUAGUCCUUCAACUUUAGAAAAUUCUGGUUUUAGUCCUUUUUAUCAAAUUUCUUUAACUUUAUUUGUUGUUUCAAACGUGUUUCUCAGUUAACAUUGAAGCAAAAAUGUGUCAAAGAGUGUAAACAAUCCAAAUGCUAUGAUGAAACGUGCUUGAAACAGCAAAUAAAGUAAAAAAAAAAUGGUAAAAAGGACUAAAACCAGAGUUUUUUAAGGUUGAAGGACUAAAUUAUACCUAGUUAGAAAGAGGGACUAAAACCAAAAUCGUCACAAAGUAUAGGGACUAAAAACAUAUUUAACCCUUGUUUAAAUAUUAUAAAGUUAUUUUAAUUAGACACAGAUGUAUUUGAAUAUAGCGAAAAACGUUAUAUUUUAUUUUCAUGUUCUUUCUUAACUGAAUAUUUUAAAUACAUUUCUGUUUUUUUUAAUCAAUACUUGCAGGCCAUGUUUUUUUUUUUUGUAUUAUUAAUAAUUACUUAUUUUGCCACGAUUAUCAUUUCAUACAUAUGACUAAUUUGUUUAUCCUAAAUAUAUUUAAAAAAUAGAGAAUAAAUGAAACCAAAUUAAGACAGCUAAUAACGCUAGACAAAGAUCAGAAUAUUUGAAAGAUAAAGACAAAAGUGAAAGAGAAAUUUAAAAACUGAGACAUUAUAAAGUUAAUCUGAAAGUUCUAAAACAACUUAAUUUAGACUAAUAUGAUAAAUUUAAAAUUUAAAAUAAUUAAUUUUAUAAUAUUAAAGAUAAAGGUAAGUUUAUAUAUAAUGACGUUAUUUCUUUCUUAAAGAAAAUAAAGAAGUAUUGAGAAUAAAAGACACGUUUUUAGAAUUAGGGAGAGCAAGUUUUCUUUUUUAAUUAUAGUUGACGUGUUUAAUUAUAAUUAUGAAAAAAUACACACUUUUUUUGUUAAUUUGCUUUAAAAAGUUCGCUAAAGAAAACACUAGAAUAAGAAUAUUAUGUUUCUUUUAUUUAUAACUUUUAAAUAAAAUUAUGAGCAUAUUUUUUUAUUGUUUUUGUAUUACUAAAAAAAAAAGUGGUGGGAUCCAGUGGAAGAUGUUGUACUGAAGUAUGAGUGUGGACGCAUUUAUAAUUUCACAAUAAGAGAUAUAUAUUAAUGUGAAUGUCAACUUCAACAUCCAUAUUUGGUUAAAGAAGGCAUGGAGCCAACAAGGGUUAGUUGCACUUGUCAAUUCAACAAUUAAUCUAAAAAGAAAAUAAAAUAAAAAAAAAUAAUAAUAAUAAAUAAAUAAAUAAUUAGUGGGCCUCAUUUUAGAUAAACAGAUAAAAAUAUUGCACAUUGCGUAUCCCAUUCCCACCACACAUUUCUUAGCUAUUUUAGGAUUUUUUUUUUUUUUUUUGCAUUUCUGGAAAAUUAUAUCUUUCAGAAGUGACAAAUUUUUAAUUCGGUUUUCUAGGUGUUCUUCCCUUAUAAAAAUUGAACUCUGCUUUUUAUAGCAUUUCAUUAUGUUUAAUCCGAUAAUAUGUUUUUAAGAUUUCGUGUUUAUUGCAUAUGACAUACAUAGACUUAUUUAUGUAAGUUAAGACAAUUUCUAUCUUAUAAAUUAAUUUUAUUUUAACACUAGUUUCAUGUGAAUUAAAACUUGAUUUGAAUAAUUUAAAUAUAUUUUCUUUCUUAAUUUCUCUAAAAUAUAUUUUUAUUUUUUAAAAAUAAUUAUGACAAUUUCAAAUAUAAUAAUCGAGCUUAAAUAAAAGGACAUUAGAAACGAAAACUUGACAUGGGAACAAAAUUAAAUUUAAACUCGUUUUUAAUACUGUUUUUUAAUCUUUUGUUCAGUGUUAAAAUUUGAAUACUGCUUUUUAUAACAUUUGAUUAUAUUUAAUAGACAAUAUUUAUAUAAAAUUUCAUGUUUUCGUAUAAUUCUUUUUAAAAGUUUUACUAAUGAAUAUAAUGGUUUCAUAAAUAACUUAAAUAUAUAUUUUAGAAAUUAAAAUAAAAAACAUUUAAAAGUAUAUUUUAGAAAUUAAAAUAAAAAUAUUUAAAAAUAUAUUUUAUAUAAGUUAAAGAGUCUCACAACUUUCAAGAAAUUUAAAAUAAUUUUAAUACUUUUUUUCACUUGUAAGACUUUUAAUAUCAAAAUAUAAUUGAGUUCAAUCUUUAAAACAGAUAACAUCUUAAAUAUACAAUGAUUAAUUAUAACGUGUCAUCUGAUAAACUUGAAAUGAUAAUAUUGACUUUCACUGUAAUAUUGAUAACAAAGUUAUCUGACGAAUAAUCAAUUUCUUAAGUUUUUCACUAAAAUGAUAAAUCAUUUUCUUAGAUAUUCACUUAAAAAAGUUAAUAAUAUAUCAUUUAAAAAUCAAGGUUUAAAAUAGUUUAAAUAUUUCUAUUUUUCCUUUCAUCCUCUAAAAACAACUUUUAAGAAUAAAUGUGUGAAAGAGUUUCAUCUUUCAAAAUAAACAAUAUAUUAGAUGUAUAAUUUUUAGUGUUUAAAAACAAAAUCAUCUCAAAAUCUCGCAUGUAAUAAUAAAACUUAAUCAUAUAUAUCAACAAAUUUAAAAUUGGAAUGUUAACGUCGCCUGCAACAAAAACAAAAAUUAUAAAGACAGAAACUUAUUAUUUCCUCAAAAAUAAAUCCGUUUAAAAACAAAAAUGAAUAUGAAAAUAAAUUAAAGUUAAACUGAAUUCUUAACACUAUUUAAAAAAAUUUAUCCAAAAACAAAAUGGUUGAUAUUAAUAUUUUAACAACUUUUUUACAAUAAAUUAUAUAUUAUUAUUUUAUUAAUUUGUAUAUUUAAAAUAAAUCAAUUAUAAAAUUCUAUAUAAUUAAUUAUAAAAAAAAUUGUUAAAAAUAUAUUUUCUAUUUUAUUAUUUACCGUUUUGUAUCGUAGGAAAACAUGUCGUACAGCGGUGCGUUGGAUUGUCCUUCCACUUGCAUUACAACUGCCAAACUACCUCACACCAACACAACACAACCCAAUAAUGCUGACUCAGUCAAAUCAUUCUUAUCUUUUUAUUUUUAUUUUAAGAUGAUUAUAUUUUAACAACAUUUUUGACAAUAUUUUUUAUAAAACAAUACGUGUCAUUAUUUUAUUGGUUAUUUGAAUUUAUAUUUAAAAAAAUAUUUUAAACAGAUAAUAACAAACUGUUACAUAUAUAUUAUAACAGAAUUGUUAAAAAAAUAUUUUUAAAAGAAAUUUUUCCUAUUUUUUAAAGGUCAUGCUGCUUUCAUUUCAACUCUUCUCAUUAUUAUAUAAUUGUACAAUAAUAACACUUUUUAUAUCUAUUUUUAAAAUAUUUCUUUUAAAUUCGUUAUUAUAUUUCACUUUUUCUUCAAAAAGUAUUUUGAAAUACAAAUUCAUAUCUUUAAUUUAAACCGUUGGUUGUAAUUUUACGAAAAUAAGUCUAAUAAAUUAAAUAUUUUCUUUUUAAUGAAAUAUAUAAACAAGUAUUUCCACUUCUAAAAUAUUAUUUUGUAGGGUUUUACAAAAAGAAAGUAAUAUUGUAUAAAUUUAUGUGAAAUAUAUUCAUUGCUUCUUAUUACACUUAAGUUAAUUAUUCUGAGACUUAAGGAUAUAUUAUAUCAUGUGUAUAAAUGUUAUAUAAAUAAAUAUGUAAAUAAAAGUGUAAAAAUAAAGAGAAAUAAAGAAGUUUUAAGCGAUUUUUAAACUUUAAUUAGUUUUCUAUUUUUCUUCUUAAUAAUAAUUAAAAAGUAGUAUACUUUAAUAUUGUUUUCUCGUACAUGUGUCUGAAUAUAAUUAAGAACUACUAGUUGAUAGAUUUUCUAUUGAAUAUGAAAUAACAACCAUUGACUUACACUGUUCUCGUAUAUCACACGUAAAUUGUCUUAGAGAAACUAUAUUUUCUAUUGACUAAUAAUAAUCAUUUAAUUAGUGCAAUAAUUGAUGCAUUUUUGACUUUGUUUCCCUCUACUUAUAUGUAUAUUUUAUUUUAAUUUGUAUGAAUUAAAUUUGGAUUAUAACGAAGUCACAUUCUCCUUUGCUAUUGAAAUUAAGGUAAUAUUUAAUUAUGUUCUUAAUUUUUAAAUUUUAAUAUAAUUUGAUCUUAAAUUUAAAAAAUAAUAUACAUGAUUUUCUUAAUACAAUUGAGUUAUAUUUUUGAAGUGGUAAACGAUUACAUUUUAAAGCGAUAUUUGAACUGUUUAUUCUAUUUAGGGUUAAAUAUGUUUUUAGUCCCUAUACUUUGGGGCGAUUUUGGUUUUAAUCCUUCUUUCAAACUAUGGUAUAAUUUAGUUCUUCAACUUUAGAAAACUCUGGUUUUAGUCCUUUUUACCAAAUUUUUUUAACUUUAUUUUUUGUUUCAAGCACGUUUCAUUGUAGCAUUUGGAUUGUUUACACUGUUUGACACAUUUUUGUUUCAAUUGGUAAAAAGGACUAAAACCAGAGUUUUCUAAAGUUGAAGGACUAAAUUGUACCAUAGUUUGAAAGAGGGACUAAAACCAAAAUCGCUCCAAAGUAUAGGGACUAAAAACAUAUUUAACUCUUCUAUUUAAGAUGUUAUAAUUGUAAUAUUAAUUUAAAACAUGUUCAAUAAAUAAAAAUAAUUAAUAUUAUUUAUUAAAAAUUACAUUUUUUUAAUUUAAUGCUUAAAAAUUAUAUUUAUUUAUAAUUCGAGUUCAAGUUUAGAAAGUAAGCACGUAUUUAAUGCUUAAAAUAAUUGAUAAAAAAAGAAAAGAUUCUUUUGAGAAAUAAAAAGUUAUUAAAGAAGAUUUAUUGUAUUAUUGUUGUUAUUAUAUUUUAUUUUAUUUUAAAAGCAGAAAGUACUUUACUUUUGUUUAUGCUUUUGCAAGAGAAUGAAUGCUUCUAAUCUUUACGUCACCUCGAAUUGUUCUGUGGGAAUCAUUAAAGUUGACAUAAAAAGUCUACACAGAAAGCAAGCCCAAUAGAUACACACAAAAAGUAAAGUUCAUCUAUAAUUACUAACAUUUUUAUAUAGUAAAAUUAUGCGUAAAAUUUUUAAUUCCUUUAAUUUUAAUUGAACUUUGUUUGAUAUUUAAAGUAAUUAAACACUCAUUUACCUUUUAAUAAUUUCUGCACGUGUUUAUAUAUUUAUUGUAAGAGUCUCAAUAAUAACUUAUUACAUGUGAAUGUUUUAAACAAUAAUAUUAAGUUAUUUUAAUAACAGUAUAAAUAUAUUUUUUUAAUUAAAAGUUUCAUUAUCUAAAAUUAUUUAUUUCUCUAAAACUUUUUUUUUCGUUUUCUCUAUAAUUUCUAAUAUUAGAUAUUGAUAUAGUGAUUUUUGAGUUGAAAUAUUUCUUUAUAAUCAAUCAAUUUCUAAAAAAAAUAAAUUGACUUUUGUUCUUUUUUUUAGGUUUGUACGUUUUAUGUAUAUUUAAUUUUUUCUCUAUAAAUUUGAAAUUUGAGUCUUCUAUUUUUUUUGUUGAUUAGUGGUAUCGAAAGUAUGCUCUGAUUAAGUUUUUACGGUUUAUAAGAGUAAAUAAGGUUUUUGAGUUGUAGGAAUAGUUAUAAAGUUUUUAAAGUCAUCUAAUCAUCAAAUAGGAAAGGGAAGUUAAUUAGUCUAUUUUUAGUUGAUGAGCAAAUUUCAGUCUACGCUUGUACGUUUGUAUGAUGAUUGAAUUUUGUAUUGUAGUGGUCAGAUGGUUUUUGACAUGUUAAGUUGGAUUGCAAAUGUUUGAAUUGGUCUCUGAAUUAUAUGUGUUUUCAAUCUUUGAAAUAAUUGAAUGAUCUAUCAUGUGGUUGAAUCGAACCUUAUCAUUUGAUUGUAUAUAAAUUAAGAAUUUUGGUUGGUUAUACAUCUAAAAUGAGUAUUAGACUAUGUUACAAACAUUGGUAAGUCAUAAUUUUGUAGAAUUGUUAUCAUGCAUAAUUAUGCAUACUUGCUAGGUGAACAUAAUUUCAUUGGACAAGCUUAAAGUUCGAGAGCUACUGGUUUUGCUGUCGUUGAUCGAGUUUUUUCAUUGUGCGAAAACAAAGUUAGUGAGCUCACUGACGAGUCUAUGGUCGUUGGGCGAGUUUAAGAUUCAAAGUAACCCUCUUUUCUAGUGGCUACGCAAGUGAGUUUCGGUAGGGCAAAUUAUGUUUGAAUUAUAAGUCUGGGAGCUCCAGUGUUAAGCUUGUUGAACGAGAUGUUCAUUCACCAAGCGAAUUUACUUGCACAUAAUAUCCUUUGAGUGAAUGAGAUGGCCUCAUUAGGCAAGAGUAACAUAGUUUAAUAAAAAUUUUCAUACGUGUUUCUUAUAAUUUCUGUUGUAAUAAGUUAAUUUAAGAAUGAUAUUAUAAUGGAUAACGUGUGAUGUGUAAUUGAAAAUGUUGAAAUCAAUCCAAGGGAAAUUGGUGAUGAGGUGUUGUAGUGUGUGCUUUAACAUAUGAAAAUUUUGAAAGUAGGAUAUCCUGAUAUAUUACUACCAUCCAUUAAACUCAUACAAAGAUAAUUGGGUAGGAGAGAGUCUAACAAGAGGUAUUUACUCUUCACUUUUGUUUUAGUUAUAAAAAGUUAACCUUGUAAGUUCUAGGGUGAUAAUUCAUGUGUUUAUAACUCUAUAGAGUAUAAAUACUAUUACAAGUGUAUGUCUAUAUUGAAUAUAUAUGUCAAAGCAUGUAUGUGAAUAAUUAAGUAUAGAGUGUUUAUUUUGUAUUUUACACGAUUGUUAUAAUAUUAUAAUGACUGAAUGAAUAUAUGAUUUGAUCAUGAUAGUUUUUUUUUUUUUUGUGUAUUGUUUUGUAAUGAUCAUUUAUGAAUGUAAAUAAAUGAUAAUGUAUUUAUUUAUAUGUCGUUGUUGUGACUGAGGAAGUUGUUAAUUAGUGUAUUAGGUUUAAUUAGAGUUUGUUUCUACGUAAAUAUUACUUUUUGAUAAAAUAGUUAGUUUUCAAAGACCUUGUACAUACCAUAUGCUCAUAUAAUUAAUAACUUGGAUAAUUAUAACAAUAUUUAGUAUGUUUCAUUUAAUCUAUUUGCUGUGAAUUAUCAAGCUUUUGAUGUUUUGUUUAGCAAUCUACACUGUUAAUAGAACGUUAUAUUUAUUAAAAACUUAGUACCAAUGUAAUUAAAUUUAAAUUUAAAGGUAAAAGGACUGAAAGAAUAAUCACUUCCAUUAUUUGGAAUCACUUUUUUAAGGGCGGAAAGGAAAAGAUAAAGAUGGUUUCAACGCUAUAAAAAGGUUCAUUUGAAUCAAAGAAAAACACGCAGUUCUAUUUAACGAAAACUGCAGAUUUUCAUAUAAGAUUGGGCCAUGGACUGAGGGAAAGUUCGAUUGGGCUUUUUCAGGUUUAAAUUUGUUUCAAGAAAUCGUAAAGAUUAUCACAAAAAUCAGUUUAGGAAUCUCAAGUUUUUCUAUAUUCAGUACAAAAUUUAGAAACAAUAUUUCUCAGAUCAUGAUUUCAAGAAAUAUAUAUAUUAUUUAAUGAAACAAAUUGUUUUGUAAAUUGCGUAAUUUCAGGUGUCUACAUUGAAUUAGAAGAUGUAAACUAUAAAUUAUCAACAGAACUUAACACAUUAUUAUAGGGCCUUAGAGCGCAGUGGGCCUCACAAAAUGAAAUGUAUUUCGAAUGCAUCUUGGAUUUAAAAAUCUAAUCCAAACCAAAAUAAAUGUGAAUUUGAUUUAAAACAAAACUCUAACAUCCACUAAAUACUAUUAAAUACUGUUAAAAAAAUAUCAUACAUUCAAUAAACAAAAAUAAUUAAUCAAAUAAAAAGAAAAUACAUAUAGAUGACUUUACAAUUACCCAAAACAUAACUAUAAAACAAAUUCAUAUAAACAACUUUAAUCUAAAACUAUGUACUUAUUCACAAAAGGUUUUUUAAAUUACAAAGUUCCAAAAAAGUCUCAUCUCCCUCUACUCACAUUCAUUAGAUAAUCAUUUCAAAUCAUAUAAUAAAAACAAACAAGCAAAAAAUAAAAUAAAAUAAAAGGAUAAGCUAAUAUUAAUAAAACAAAACAUGAAAUUUACAAAGUAACAUAUAUUAUAUUCACUUUCAACUAAGCAAAACACCUAAACAUAAAAUAUCUAGGCUGAAAUAUCCAGAUACAUUAGUUAUUGUCAAGCUAUGACAGAUUGUGUAUUUGUGGUGGUCUUUACUACUUUGUAGAGCCAUUGAUAAUGAGUUUCACCUUAGACUAAAACUUUUUGCUACUUGAGAAUUGAUAACCAUUAAAGUUUCAGAAUAACCCCUAAGGUUAAGCUACUAUAAUAAUACAUACAAUAUUUGAAACAACCAUCAAGAAUUUCACCUUAGAAACUCUUUUCAAACCGUACUGAAAACAAACAUAACUUCAUGCAUAAACCAUCAUAUAAUUCCAUUUAUAUUGUUGAACAAGCUUUAAAGUAUCAAUACAUUUCCAUCCAUAAGAAAUAGAAAAGUAGAAAAGAAAAGAAUCAAACCUAUACACAGGACACCCUAUGCCAGACUUUUGGCACUCAACACAGACCCUACUCGCCCAACAAGCUCCCCCUAAUGCCCAACAAGAGUGCAAACAGAGAAUUCUCCAAGCUUAGUGAGAACUUGGAGAACUCUAGUCCAGUCUUUGAAACACACUGGUUUUCUUCACUAAUAAGUCACCCAGUGACCCUAAGCUCGCCUAACACCCAAAAACCACUGGAAAAACAGUGCUUAGUGCUAGAAAAUAGUGGGCUUCACCCACCUAGCAUGCCUAUCUUGCUCAGCUAGUCUACAAAAUCCUACAUAAUAACAACUCUGUAGAAUUUGCAUCCAUCUACUUCAAAUUUUCUAACUCCAAACAUACCUCCACUGCACAUAGUUCAAAUCUUGUUAUUCUAAAGCUUAAAUGUAAUUCACCAACAUGCUUAUGACUUAAUUUCAAUUCCUUAUUUGAUUAUUUUGUUAAGAAUUCACACUUACCAACACCAAAUCACCAUUUAAAAGCUAAUCAUUCAAUUCUACCCAUUUCUAAACAUAUUUUGACACGCUAAGCAUCCAAGCUAGUUCUAAAUAGCCUAAAAACAUAUCUUAUACCUCAAAUUUCUCCAUCCAACUCUUACCUCAAAAUAUAACCUAUUUAAACUCCCUCUUUUUAUACCAAAUUCAAUAUAUAAUUCUACCUACUUUUGCUAUUUCUCAAUUAAACAUUAGAUUUUGGUUAACUAAGGUUUUAAACAAGUUUUAAUUGACCUAAAGACAACUCCCAAACAUCAAUUACAGUUUCAAAAUUACUCUUACAGAAAUUCACUUACCAAAACCCCAAAAUUUGACCAAAAGCCAACCAAAAAAUUCUCCAUUUACUACUACCCGUAUCACAUCAAUUUCCUACUCAAUAUAACCUAAAAAAUCAGUAUACAUUCGAAACUAGUUAGAUACUAAAAAAAAUCACAACACACCUUGAAUCACCAAUAACAUGCAUUUUACCCAAUUUUAAUCCACAUGCUCACAUAUACUCAUAUUCGUCAAAGAAUCCACUUAAACACUAAACUAAUUAAAUUUCAAUACACUAAAUAAUAAAAUAUAUUAAUAAAAUUUUAUUCAUAUCAUCAAAUAUUUAACAUUAAAAUAAUCUAUUUCAUUGUUUUAAAACAUCUAAUACUCUGUUUUUAGGUAAUUAUAAUAACUAAUUAGAUUUUGAGUUAUUAGACUUGAUAUUUUUUUUUCUUUAUAUUCGAUCCAAUUUAAUGUUUGAAUAACCGUUAUCUUUUUUUUUUUCUCUAAAACACUUUCAAGUAAAUUAAAACUAUGCAUAAGAUUUACGUAUAUUUUUGCAUUUUUUUAACAGUAAACAACCAACGAUGAAAAAAUAAAGUGGAAAGUAUACGUUUUUCAUGGGAGAAAUCUUUGUUAGAGUUUCUUUAGAUUGAUUUGAAUUCUAGGAAUACUAUAAUUGUUGUUGUUAUAACAAAUUUGGAUUUUUUUUAUUAGGUUUUAAUUGAAACACAGGUAAAUAUUUUAAAAAAGAAAAUUUAAACAGAGUUUAAAACAUUUUACAAAAAUGCAUAAACAUUAUUAUAGGAAUUAGACGACAUACAUAUAGUGUUAACACUUAAAUUAUGCAAUUAUUUUUUGAAAAUUACACUUUAUUUAUUCCGAUGUGAUUCAAUUAAUAGUAAAUAUAAGAUACUCAUUUAAUUCAUCAUAAAAAUUAAGUAUUAAAAUAUAUAAAAAAAAAUAAGCACACCAAAAAUCAAGAAUUAGAUCAAAAUUUUAAAACGUCUACCACCUAAAAUCUAAAAAUUCAACCCAAAGUCUAUCUAAAGAAGAAGAAAACUGGUAUCAAUAUAACACAACCGUAAUGUAUUACUUAAUAACAACUAAUCAAUCAACAAUUGUAAAUAAUUAACAAGAAAUAAAAUAAAUACAUAAAACAAUUGAGGAUAAAGAUAAUAUAUAUAUAUAUAUAUAUAUAUAUAUAUAUAUAUAUAUAUAUAUAUAUAUAUAUAUAUAUAUAUAUAUAUAUNAUAUAUAUAUAUAUAUAUAUAUAUAUAUAUAUAUAUAUAUAUAUAUAUAUGUAUAUAUGUAUGUAUGUAUAUAUUUGAGACCUUUACUAGAGAAUAAAAGUUACGUAAGCAAUAAAAAUUAGGAACAUUGUAAUUAAUUUUGUAUUCUUUUAAUCUGGAUUUGCUUUUCAUAAAGCAAUUGUUAUAACAUUGAACAGUUGCAAGCUUUAGAUUCCAUUAAACUUCUUCACUUUAGAUUUUUUCAAUAUCCACUUUUAUUUGUUGAAUUAUGAACCAAUUCUCCACCAAAUUCAUCGUUCAAACUAAUACAUAGUUUUGUUCAAAGUCUUAGUAAUAAAAAUUUUCAACACAAAAAUAAAAAGUUUUAAAAAAAUAGUUUUCAGAUAAAUAAUGUGUUUUAAAAACAAUAAAAUUUAUAAAACUAUUUAUAUUAAAAAUAUUUAAUAUUAAAAUAAUUGAUUUUUAAAUUAUUAUUACUUCUAAAAUAUUAUUUUUUAGAUUCUUACAAGUGUCAACUUUUAUUUUUAUUUUUGUUCAAAGUCUUAGUAAGAAAAAGUGAUGUUUGAUAUUUGUUUUAAUCAAAGUAUUGAAUUGAAAUUUUAAUUAAUAGUGAUGAUAUCGAUUUGACUUAUUUUAUGGUAAUUUUAUAGCAACCCCACCACCAUUCUUGUCAAACCUAAAUUGAAAAAGAUGGCAAUGUGAUGCAAUGAACAAAUCACCAUUGUGGCAGACAAAGACCCUUUUUUUUUCCUGGAAAAUUCUUCUACCACCGUCAAGCUUCCCAUUAAUCUUAAUAGCUUGUCUAUAAAGUAUUAAUACUUUUAUAAUACCAAUAAUUAAUGAUUUUUAUGUUAAUAACUUUAAUAAAUAUAAUUUUAUUUUUGAUUCGCACAUAAUUAUCAUGCAAUCUUAUUAUUUUUAACAUCGAUAUAUCUGAUGCGUUUAAUAUAUAUAUCCUUGCAUCAUCGGAUGACACUUUUUAUUAUUAGGUUUAAAUCAUUAUGUGUUCCUAUUUUCGGAAGAUUUUUCCAUUUUGAUUUCUGUCUUAUUCAAAUUUUCAAUUGUGUCUCUUAAUUUUAAUCAGUUAAACUCUUGUCGUAAAAUUUAGUUAACGGGUUAAUUUUUUUGCACAAUGGAAGAAUGACUUGUUAAUUUCUGUAAACGUGACCUAUUUAGAGUUGAAACGAGACAUGAAUUGAGUCUCAUAAGUGCUAAUUUCAAUCGAUUUCAACUCGUGCUAAUUUCAAUCAAUUUUAACUCUAAUUCAUGCCACCUUUCAACUCUAAAUAGGUCAUGUUUAUAGAAAUUAACAGAUCAUCCUCCCCGCUGUGAAAAAAGUUAAUUCCAUUAACUAAAUUUAAUGAGAGGGGCUUAAUUGAUAAAAAUCUUCCUAAUAUAGACUAAAUGAUUUAAACCUUAUUAUUAUUCACUUCUCAAUCACCACACUCCGUAAAGUAAAAGCUUCUUCCAUUCCAACGCAAACAAAAUCAAUCAAAAAUACUUCAUUUUCAAUCAAACUAUUGUUUAUUUGAAUCUUGCAUUUCAUCUUUCUGAUAUCCAUCCAAGUGAAUUUUAGUUAUCGCAUUUUUUAUAUAUAAUUUACAACUUCAAAAAGGUUUAAUUGUGUUCUUUCUUCAUCACCAGAAAAAGAAAGGAAAUGGGACAAGAGUUGAUAAAAUCAAACUUGUGUUUCAUUUAAGAUUAAGGAAGGUGAGGAAGUGAGAAAGAUAAAAAAAAAAAUCAUACUAAUUAAAGAUAACUGCGUGCUAAUCUCCUAUAUUAUUACUACAAUUACAAUUACAACCUAAUUAACUCCGAAAACAACAGAAACAAAGAGAUGAGGAGCCUUGUAGAUUCAGAUUUCCUUUUCCUGUUCGGAGAAAACAAGGCAGACCCAAACCUACACUGUUACGGCAGCUUAAACCGGCGGCGCGUGCGUCUCACACGGACGCAGAUUUCUACGCCCCGCCGCCCUCGGCGGCUUCCGGCGCCGCGGCGUUCAAGUCAAAACCCUCAAUUACGUUAGCCACCUCCCCACGCUUUUUCUUUGGGUUGGCAUCAUCACCUUCUUGCUCGCCGUCGGCUUCUUCGCUGUGGUCCACCGCGAGCUCCGCCGUCUCCAGCACCUCCCGCCACUCCCUGCCGCCCCUCCCUUUGUCGUCAAAGUACUUAACGGCCACCCUCAUCCUCCUCAGUAUGGCGAAAAACUCCUCCACCUCCUCCUCCGUGGGAACCCCAUCACCACCGCCUUCUUCUUCUUCUUCGCCCUUUAACCUCUUUUUGUUCACUCUCUCGCCUUCUUCUUCCACUCUGGUGACCCUCUUGUUCUUCCUCUUCUCCAUUUCCAUGACGGUGACGGUGACUCAGAUCCCACAAGGCAAAAUCAAAAUUAACAAGAAUUACAUACACAUUGUUUCCUUCAUCUCAAGAUAUAUCAAUUCAAUUAAUGUUCCCCUUUGUAAAUAAAGACUACAACUUUUCCUAUUCUUCAAUCAACAUAUAAUAUAUAAAGUAAUAUCUAUGCACAGUCCAAAAGACUACUCAUUUUAUUAAUAAUUUAAAUAAAUUAUUAACCUGUGCUUUCACUUUUGGGUGAAUUUUCUUUUUUUUUUCCUUGAAAUAUUAUGAGACGACGGAGAGUGUCAAAUUACUUAAAUUAUAUUAAAUAUUAUUAUGAAUUUGGGCAUUUCAAUUUGACGUCCCAGACAUUUAUUCUUAUAAAUUAUAAUAUAAAGUUUAUCCAUAUACUUAACUGUUUUAUUUAUAAUAUAUAAAUAUAAUAAAAUAACUCAAUCAAAAAAACUAAUAUAAUUACUAGAUUUAUUUUGCAUGGUUAGGAUAAUGCCAAACGGAGACAUUUUAUUAUUACUUUUAAGCAGUAAAUACUGAAUACGUAUAUACCUAUAAAUGGUACGUCUACAACAAAUUGCUUUUAUCCCUAAAUAGUAUAAAAGAAACAUAGAACUACGUAGACUGAAAAAAAUAAAAUUAAAACAUGAUGAGAUGUCAUAUAAUAUAUUGUUGUAGAUUAAAAGAAUAUAUUAAAUGGAAUAUAUAUUAUAUAUGUCGGUGCUAUUGUUUUAUUCAUUUAUGAAUUUGAUUGUUGUGUUUGCAUGUUCGUAACGUGGGAGGACUAUUGACAAAUUAUACCAUUUCUUUUGGAUGAUCAUAAACAAAGUUGCUGCUUUAAAUUUGAUUUAUUGCCGUAGCUAGCUUUUUCUUUUCCAUGUUGAUGUGUGAUUAAUUGGUACAUUUAUCAUGUGUUAAUCGUUUGUUUCUUCAAUAUCUUAAUUAUAUAGCCCAGGAAAUAAUUUAAAUAAAAAUGUUAAAUGCUAAUAUAUUUGUAUUCAUUGUAAACAAAAGUAAUUAUUCUCACUACAUACAAUAUUUUACAUCAUUUAAUCAAAUUACACUUUUAAGCAUUUAUACACAUAUUGCUAUUUAAAAUACAACCAUGUGGAACACAUGUUUGAUCACGUACCACUCCAAAACAGCAUUCACUCCCAAAAACUCCAUUAACUAACAACGUGGUAAUAAUUAAAAUUUUAAUUAUUUGUACAAAAUAAUUAAAAAAAUAUAUUUGUAUUUCUUCUAAAUGCAAUUAUCCCUCUUAAACUAAAAUAGAAUGUUAGAUCUUGUAUCUAUUGAUGUUAUAUAUUGUUAUAACCCACUGAAUAAAUUUUAUCUUCAACGGUACGGUUUAAAUUUAAGUGAAUGAAAAAUAUGGUAAAAAUUGAAUUUUUACAGGAUUUUUUUUAGGAAAGAUAUGUCCUUACACAAUAUUAAAUUGUGCUCUGAAUACAAAUAUCUUAAAGAAAAAAACUUGUCUAACGAAUACAUUUUUAGUAAAAGAAAUAUUUUAAUCAUAAAAUAAACUAUUCAUAAACUUGUCUUAAACCCUAAGUUUUUCUUUUACUUUAUUAAAUGAUUUUCUAUUUGGUGCGUAAUUAUAUUAAAUUAUUGGAAAUGUAGUAGUUUAAUGAGAAUAAAAAAAGUUGGAGAUUCGUGGAAAUUAGAGAAGCAAAGUGGAGAGUGGUUGGAAGAUGACGCGUGAGAAGGUGCGUGAUUAUGUCAGGAAAUUCGAGAAGAUGACGUCAUGAGAUUGCGUAUGGGUUAAAAUGUACCAUUCUUUGUCCAUCCCUAUGCUAGUAGACAAUGACUGUUCCCCCUCACUCUCACACGCAUUCAUGUGCGUGUACUUUAUACGCUCCAAGGCUGAUAUUUUAGUAAAUUAAAUUUAUAUUUUUACAUUAAAUUUUAAUUAAAGAGUAUAACUAAAUAAUAUAGUAUCAGUGAUUUGGUGUCUAGGAGAAUUCACAAAAAAUUUUGCUUAUAUGUAGAUAUUUAUUAUUUGUAAAAAACUAAAAUUAAAAAUAUAUUUUAUUAGAUUAAAUUUAAUUAAAAUUAAAAUUAAUUUAUAUUAUAUUUUAUAUACUAUUAUGGGAUUUUUUUUAUAGAUACUAUUAUGGGAUUUUUUUUAUUACAAAUACAGUGAAAAUUCAAUGCCAAUUCAUUGUAAAAAAAAGUAGCAGAAUAUUACGAUUUAAUCGUCUCCAAUUUUUUGGAAGUCGUAGGUCGAUUUUUUAUUUUUUAUUUUUUAUUUUUUGUUUUAAUUGAGUUUUAAAUUUGUUGUUUUUUUUAAAUUAAAGUGAUGUAGCUGUUGAAAAUUUUAUAUCAAUUAGAAAUAAGACCAAUUUAUAAUAUAUUAUAACAAAUAUCAUUUUACAAGUCAAUUUUGAAGUGUUAAAUUAGGCUUAAUACUUCUUAAUAGCUAUUCUCAUUAAAUUCACUCAAUAACAUUAAAAAAAUAGUGACUAGACACGUUAUGGAUUUUUAAAAUGACAUGACUAAAAAAAAUCUUAGCAAAGUUCUUUAUUAUGUAUGUCGAGCUUUAAACUAUACAAACUAAUCUUUACCGUAGAUUAUACUUUCUACCUUUAUUGAGACUCCUCAUUUUAAAAAUCCAUAAUAGUUAUUAGUUUUUUAACAAUUUAACAACAAUGACUAUAUUACGUUAAUUUUUUAAAAUUACAAACUUAAUUAAAAAAAUCAAAAGACGAAUCGAUCUACAACUUCCAACAGAAAAACAUAAACUACUGAUUAAACCAAUUCUUACAAUAAAAGAUUUUCGUAUUGUUGAACUUAUAUAUUAAUGAUUUGAUUCGUUUGUUCGUCAUAUAACAGUUUAAAACUCAUCUUAAAUUAUGAACAUAUAAUUGAUAAUUUUGUAAUAUUUUAGUAUACUUUUUUCUUAAAUUUUAAUAUGUUUUUACUUUUACUUUAUUGUUAAGCACACGCUUUAAAAAACAAAAUAAUUUAAUUUUCAGUUUUAUGUGAAAGUUAAUAAAAUUAUGGUAAUGAGUUAUAUCUUAACAUAUUUCUCUUCAUACAAAUUUAUUAUUUGAAUAUCAAAUAAAUAUUGUUAUAUUUGACAAAAUGUUAUUUUCUAUACACGUGUCACAGUUCCCUUCCAAAAUUAAUAAGGACACCUAAAAAUGAGUGUUGAAUUCAACAAUUUUUUCGCAUUUAUAAUGUAUCGUUUACAAAAUUUGGAUCACACAUCAUUCCUUUUUAAUGCAAUACAAUUUAAUUAAUUUUUUGGUAAAAAAUAAAAUUAAAAAUGUGGUGAGUUACCUUAGAAGUAUUAAAACAUUAAAUAAAUUUAAAUUAAAAUAUAUUCUCUAAAACUUUUAAUUUACAUUUUUCUAAUAAAUAAGUUUAAUAACUUUAAACUAUCACCCUAUUGUGAUAGUUCAAUUAUUACAGCAUAGGUUAUUACAGAGAGUAAUAAUUCUCUCCAAAUAAGUUAACUUCGUGUCAAUAUCAACCUGCUGCAUCAAUUAUUGCAUUUGCCAAACUUUGACUAAGAAUAAGAAUGUAAAAUUAAAGAAAUGUAGAUUUUAAUGUUGUUCAGGAGUUGGUAUACUUUUAUUUAUUCCAUUAUUAAAAUGAUUAAUUGAAAUUUAAAACUCUUGAUAAUUUACAUAUUUUUAAUUAAAUUUAUAUAUAUAUAUAUAUAUAUAUAUAUAUAUAUAUAUAUAUAUAUAUAUAUAUAUAUAUAUAUGUGUGUGUGUGUGUGUGUGAAUUUAACAUUAUUUUGACUAAUAAAAAAAUAUUAGAGUUAAUAUAUAAUAACUUUUAUUAUUUUGAUUAAAAAUAUACUGGACAGUUUAAAUGUUUUUUCUUUCCUUUUAGCGUGUGUUCGCUUGAAUAGAUUUUACUGUUUAAGCGAAUUUGCGAGCGAUGAUUUACGUUUUAAUCGUGUUCGCUUCCGCUGAUUACAUGUGCUGAUUUAUAACCAAGUACUUAUAUACCCUUCAAUGUAAAUAUGCAGCUUUCAUAAUAUUCAAAAACCAUAAUAUUAAAUAUUAAUGUUAAUAUUAAAAAAUCAAAAUGUGAAGGCAACAGGAACUGAGAAAGCAUAAAAUAAAAUGCACUGUGGUUUCACGAGAGCACAUUAUUCCUUUGCGCAUGUGAUUUUGCAGCUUCCUUUUCAGUCCAUUGCACUGUGUGUGGUCAAGAGUAGCAGUGGUGGAGAGCUGUGGAGAGUAAGAGCUUUUCUUGUGCUGAGAUAAUGUUUGUGGCUUGUGGGUUUUGCAGAUGAAGAAGACGAAGCCGUGAUGUAUUCCAAUCCAGAGAAAGUGUAUCUGGAUCCAUCGUUUUCGAAGAUUUUGUGGAGGAACGAUAUCCGGAUACAGUCUUAGCGUAUCCAGAUCCAGGUUGUUCAUCAUUUGCGAAGGAGGCGUAUCCGGAUACAGUUUCGCAUAUCCGGUUCCAGGCGACCGUUUUCCGGUUCUUUGGAUGACAGCGAUGGGUUGUUUCCGGUUGCAGUCACCGGUUGGCCAUGUCUUCCUUCCUUGUUCCGUCGCAACAGCUGGCUUAGGACGUGUGUUAAGCUUCGUGUAUGGGUGAUGCGGUUAUCGUCUUCUUCUCCAUGUAGCCUCCAUUCGAAGUUGUUGUUGUGAACAUGGUUGAUGGUGCGCAUGGUGGGCAUGGAGAUCGUUCAUAAUUAUUUAUAAUUAAUAUUAAUUAAUUUCCUCUCUUUAUUAACAUUUAAUCAUUUAAAUAUAACAUUCAAAAAUAAUAUUUUAUAUUAGGCUUAAUAGCACUAAUGGUCCCUAUUUUGGUUGCCAAUAUUCGAUUUGGUCCCCAUUUUUUUUUUUGUUCAAUUUAGUCCUAAAGUUUGAUAAUUUUGUUCAAUUUGGUCCUUUUCACAGACGGCGUUUAAAUUGGUAACGGAAGACCUUCCAACAGUGCCAAACAGUUCCAACAGUGCCAAACAGUGUGGCGAUGUGGCAUUUGUCAGCCCAUGUGGAGUCCGUUUAGUGAUUUUGAAAUUCUAAUUUGAAAAAUAAUUAGAAUUAGGGAUUGCAUUUNUGAAAAAUAAUUUAGGGAUUCUAGGGUACCCCAAUUUAUGAGCAGAGAGUGAAAUUAGGUUUAGGGUUCUUCUUCUUUUUGCAAUAGCUCCCAAUCUUCAUAGUUGAUGAGCCAUGUCUCGUUCACAAUGUUCUUCUUCUUUUUGCAAUAGCUCCGACAACCGAAGUUCUAAUUUGACACUUGAUGGGGGUUCAAUGGGGGUAGGGAUAAUCCCCAUUUGCAAUUGUGGUGAGUUGGCUGUAGUAAAAAUGGCUAGAACUUCNAAGAAUGCUGGAAGAUACUUUUGGGGUUGUCGAAACUACAAGGUGAUUUGAAUAAAGCAUCUGUAAUUGUAGCUUUUUUUCUUGCCUAUUUUCUUUGUGUUUGUUAUUAACAAUGCUUUUNAUGAAUAACAGAGUGGAAAUGGUGUGAUGUGUUGUAACUAUUUCAAGUGGUGCAAUGAAGAGAAGGUUGAUGAAAGGGAUGUUAUCAUUGGUAGCCAAAGGAGGAAGAUUUGUGAGAUGGAGAAGAGAUUGAGUGCUUUGACGAGAANGAACCACUUCUUAGUAGCAGUGAUNUGUGUUCUUAGUGUAGUGGUCUGUGUUCUUAGUGUAUGUAGUGUGUAUUUUUAGGUUGAUGUGUUGAAAGUGUGGUUGAUGUGUUGAAACUGUGUUUUUAGGUUGAUGUGUUCUGUGUUUUUAGGUGGUGUGAAUGUACUUAUGUUUUGUUAGGUGGUCGCUUUAAACGACUGUGCUUUGUAUUGAAGGAAUGAAUGAAUUACAUUUGGUGUUCAAAUUAGUCCUCAUUUCAGUUAAGUUUGUUNAAUUUGGUCCUCAAUUUCAGUUAAAAAUGUUCGCAUGUGGUCCUGAUGAUGUUGAUAGUGGUUAAAUAUGUACGCCAAAAUUGAAGUNNNNNNNNNNNNNNNNNNNNNNNNNNNNNNNNNNNNNNNNNNNNNNNNNNNNNNNNNNNNNNNNNNNNNNNNNNNNNNNNNNNNNNNNNNNNNNNNNNNNNNNNNNNNNNNNNNNNNNNNNNNNNNNNNNNNNNNNNNNNNNNNNNNNNNNNNNNNNNNNNNNNNNNNNNNNNNNNNNNNNNNNNNNNNNNNNNNNNNNNNNNNNNNNNNNNNNNNNNNNNNNNNNNNNNNNNNNNNNNNNNNNNNNNNNNNNNNNNNNNNNNNNNNNNNNNNNNNNNNNNNNNNNNNNNNNNNNNNNNNNNNNNNNNNNNNNNNNNNNNNNNNNNNNNNNNNNNNNNNNNNNNNNNNNNNNNNNNNNNNNNNNNNNNNNNNNNNNNNNNNNNNNNNNNNNNNNNNNNNNNNNNNNNNNNNNNNNNNNNNNNNNNNNNNNNNNNNNNNNNNNNNNNNNNNNNNNNNNNNNNNNNNNNNNNNNNNNNNNNNNNNNNNNNNNNNNNNNNNNNNNNNNNNNNNNNNNNNNNNNNNNNNNNNNNNNNNNNNNNNNNNNNNNNNNNNNNNNNNNNNNNNNNNNNNNNNNNNNNNNNNNNNNNNNNNNNNNNNNNNNNNNNNNNNNNNNNNNNNNNNNNNNNNNNNNNNNNNNNNNNNNNNNNNNNNNNNNNNNNNNNNNNNNNNNNNNNNNNNNNNNNNNNNNNNNNNNNNNNNNNNNNNNNNNNNNNNNNNNNNNNNNNNNNNNNNNNNNNNNNNNNNNNNNNNNNNNNNNNNNNNNNNNNNNNNNNNNNNNNNNNNNNNNNNNNNNNNNNNNNNNNNNNNNNNNNNNNNNNNNNNNNNNNNNNNNNNNNNNNNNNNNNNNNNNNNNNNNNNNNNNNNNNNNNNNNNNNNNNNNNNNNNNNNNNNNNNNNNNNNNNNNNNNNNNNNNNNNNNNNNNNNNNNNNNNNNNNNNNNNNNNNNNNNNNNNNNNNNNNNNNNNNNNNNNNNNNNNNNNNNNNNNNNNNNNNNNNNNNNNNNNNNNNNNNNNNNNNNNNNNNNNNNNNNNNNNNNNNNNNNNNNNNNNNNNNNNNNNNNNNNNNNNNNNNNNNNNNNNNNNNNNNNNNNNNNNNNNNNNNNNNNNNNNNNNNNNNNNNNNNNNNNNNNNNNNNNNNNNNNNNNNNNNNNNNNNNNNNNNNNNNNNNNNNNNNNNNNNNNNNNNNNNNNNNNNNNNNNNNNNNNNNNNNNNNNNNNNNNNNNNNNNNNNNNNNNNNNNNNNNNNNNNNNNNNNNNNNNNNNNNNNNNNNNNNNNNNNNNNNNNNNNNNNNNNNNNNNNNNNNNNNNNNNNNNNNNNNNNNNNNNNNNNNNNNNNNNNNNNNNNNNNNNNNNNNNNNNNNNNNNNNNNNNNNNNNNNNNNNNNNNNNNNNNNNNNNNNNNNNNNNNNNNNNNNNNNNNNNNNNNNNNNNNNNNNNNNNNNNNNNNNNNNNNNNNNNNNNNNNNNNNNNNNNNNNNNNNNNNNNNNNNNNNNNNNNNNNNNNNNNNNNNNNNNNNNNNNNNNNNNNNNNNNNNNNNNNNNNNNNNNNNNNNNNNNNNNNNNNNNNNNNNNNNNNNNNNNNNNNNNNNNNNNNNNNNNNNNNNNNNNNNNNNNNNNNNNNNNNNNNNNNNNNNNNNNNNNNNNNNNNNNNNNNNNNNNNNNNNNNNNNNNNNNNNNNNNNNNNNNNNNNNNNNNNNNNNNNNNNNNNNNNNNNNNNNNNNNNNNNNNNNNNNNNNNNNNNNNNNNNNNNNNNNNNNNNNNNNNNNNNNNNNNNNNNNNNNNNNNNNNNNNNNNNNNNNNNNNNNNNNNNNNNNNNNNNNNNNNNNNNNNNNNNNNNNNNNNNNNNNNNNNNNNNNNNNNNNNNNNNNNNNNNNNNNNNNNNNNNNNNNNNNNNNNNNNNNNNNNNNNNNNNNNNNNNNNNNNNNNNNNNNNNNNNNNNNNNNNNNNNNNNNNNNNNNNNNNNNNNNNNNNNNNNNNNNNNNNNNNNNNNNNNNNNNNNNNNNNNNNNNNNNNNNNNNNNNNNNNNNNNNNNNNNNNNNNNNNNNNNNNNNNNNNNNNNNNNNNNNNNNNNNNNNNNNNNNNNNNNNNNNNNNNNNNNNNNNNNNNNNNNNNNNNNNNNNNNNNNNNNNNNNNNNNNNNNNNNNNNNNNNNNNNNNNNNNNNNNNNNNNNNNNNNNNNNNNNNNNNNNNNNNNNNNNNNNNNNNNNNNNNNNNNNNNNNNNNNNNNNNNNNNNNNNNNNNNNNNNNNNNNNNNNNNNNNNNNNNNNNNNNNNNNNNNNNNNNNNNNNNNNNNNNNNNNNNNNNNNNNNNNNNNNNNNNNNNNNNNNNNNNNNNNNNNNNNNNNNNNNNNNNNNNNNNNNNNNNNNNNNNNNNNNNNNNNNNNNNNNNNNNNNNNNNNNNNNNNNNNNNNNNNNNNNNNNNNNNNNNNNNNNNNNNNNNNNNNNNNNNNNNNNNNNNNNNNNNNNNNNNNNNNNNNNNNNNNNNNNNNNNNNNNNNNNNNNNNNNNNNNNNNNNNNNNNNNNNNNNNNNNNNNNNNNNNNNNNNNNNNNNNNNNNNNNNNNNNNNNNNNNNNNNNNNNNNNNNNNNNNNNNNNNNNNNNNNNNNNNNNNNNNNNNNNNNNNNNNNNNNNNNNNNNNNNNNNNNNNNNNNNNNNNNNNNNNNNNNNNNNNNNNNNNNNNNNNNNNNNNNNNNNNNNNNNNNNNNNNNNNNNNNNNNNNNNNNNNNNNNNNNNNNNNNNNNNNNNNNNNNNNNNNNNNNNNNNNNNNNNNNNNNNNNNNNNNNNNNNNNNNNNNNNNNNNNNNNNNNNNNNNNNNNNNNNNNNNNNNNNNNNNNNNNNNNNNNNNNNNNNNNNNNNNNNNNNNNNNNNNNNNNNNNNNNNNNNNNNNNNNNNNNNNNNNNNNNNNNNNNNNNNNNNNNNNNNNNNNNNNNNNNNNNNNNNNNNNNNNNNNNNNNNNNNNNNNNNNNNNNNNNNNNNNNNNNNNNNNNNNNNNNNNNNNNNNNNNNNNNNNNNNNNNNNNNNNNNNNNNNNNNNNNNNNNNNNNNNNNNNNNNNNNNNNNNNNNNNNNNNNNNNNNNNNNNNNNNNNNNNNNNNNNNNNNNNNNNNNNNNNNNNNNNNNNNNNNNNNNNNNNNNNNNNNNNNNNNNNNNNNNNNNNNNNNNNNNNNNNNNNNNNNNNNNNNNNNNNNNNNNNNNNNNNNNNNNNNNNNNNNNNNNNNNNNNNNNNNNNNNNNNNNNNNNNNNNNNNNNNNNNNNNNNNNNNNNNNNNNNNNNNNNNNNNNNNNNNNNNNNNNNNNNNNNNNNNNNNNNNNNNNNNNNNNNNNNNNNNNNNNNNNNNNNNNNNNNNNNNNNNNNNNNNNNNNNNNNNNNNNNNNNNNNNNNNNNNNNNNNNNNNNNNNNNNNNNNNNNNNNNNNNNNNNNNNNNNNNNNNNNNNNNNNNNNNNNNNNNNNNNNNNNNNNNNNNNNNNNNNNNNNNNNNNNNNNNNNNNNNNNNNNNNNNNNNNNNNNNNNNNNNNNNNNNNNNNNNNNNNNNNNNNNNNNNNNNNNNNNNNNNNNNNNNNNNNNNNNNNNNNNNNNNNNNNNNNNNNNNNNNNNNNNNNNNNNNNNNNNNNNNNNNNNNNNNNNNNNNNNNNNNNNNNNNNNNNNNNNNNNNNNNNNNNNNNNNNNNNNNNNNNNNNNNNNNNNNNNNNNNNNNNNNNNNNNNNNNNNNNNNNNNNNNNNNNNNNNNNNNNNNNNNNNNNNNNNNNNNNNNNNNNNNNNNNNNNNNNNNNNNNNNNNNNNNNNNNNNNNNNNNNNNNNNNNNNNNNNNNNNNNNNNNNNNNNNNNNNNNNNNNNNNNNNNNNNNNNNNNNNNNNNNNNNNNNNNNNNNNNNNNNNNNNNNNNNNNNNNNNNNNNNNNNNNNNNNNNNNNNNNNNNNNNNNNNNNNNNNNNNNNNNNNNNNNNNNNNNNNNNNNNNNNNNNNNNNNAAAAAAAAAAUGGGGACCAAAUCGAAUAUUGGCAACCAAAAUAGGGACCAUUAGUGCUAUUAAGCCUUUAUAUUACUUUAAUAACUAGGGGUAUUUUGGUAAUCUUUAACUUCUACCAAUUAAACUAAUUUUUUAAAUUUGUCAAAUCAAUCAAAUCCUACACUAAUUCUCACAAACUUUACCUUCAAAUCCACUCUCAAUUACCCACAAAUUCACUCAAAAAACAACAAAAUAAUUACCCUCAAAUCUACUCAAAUCUAUUUAAAUCAUCCUUCGAAUCAUCCCCUCAAAUUCGUUCAAAAGAACACACCCUUAAGGAUAAAAUAAUAACAAAAUUUUAUGCUCCAAAAUACACAACAUUUUAAAUAUACGAUGAUUGUUCUUAAUGUAUCAUUAGAUUAAGUCUUCGAAACUUAAAGAUAAUUUAAAUAUAUUUUUUCUUUUUUUAUCUUUUAAUUUUUUUAAAAAAUAAAAUCAUGACAAAAUUUUAUAUUUUAAAAUAAAUAAUAUUUUAAAUAUAUGAUUAUUGAUUAUAAUAAUAUCGUUAUAAUACAAACAAUAUAACAUGUUUUAUUUUGUGUCUAAAUAUAUUAAGAAAUUUAAGACUAUGUUGACUAAUAUAAAUUUUAUUAGAGUUAAUAUAUAGCAACUUUUAUUAUUUUAAUUCUUUUAUAAAAAUGUUGUCUUAUUUUUUAUUAAUUUUCUAAUCCAUUAACAAAUUAUCACAAAUAACAACCACAACCAACACUUUUUUUGUAAUUUAUUUAUAUUAAUCAUAAAAAAAUAUAAAAUUUAUAUAUUUUAAUACAUAAAAAUAACCAAUACAAAUGUUUAAACAAUACAACGAUUACUUUAUACGAAAAGGUAAAUAAAAUAAUUUGAUUAAAAAUAUAAUUUUUUAAUAUAAUCAAUAAAUAAAAGAAAGUAAUAAAACACUUCUAAAAAUAUUAAAAUUCAUAAAUAGAAAACUUAUAACUCAUUAGUACAAAAAUAUAUUUUAUGACAUACAAAAGCUAAUUAUAACGUAUAUAGUAUUUUACGUAAUUAUUUUUGUAGUUAUAAAAUAUGAUUUUUAGACUAAUAUUAAUUUAAAAUCUGAAAAGGGUGAGUGGCGCGUGAAUAUGUUGGUUGAAGAGAAAGUUGAAAUUGUUGCGUUGGAUGCUUAUUCAAUGAUUCCAAAGUGGACCCAUCAACUUAAUUUUCAACACAUUAAUAGUAUAAGGAAUUCUCUGCUUUCAAAAAAUCUGAUUUUUUAACAUUGAAAGAAAAAAAUUGUGAACUGUAUCUAAUGUAAUUGGUUGAAUGAUGCGUCUCUAUUUAUAUAUUUUUACCAAAAAAUUUCAAAAUUUGAAAUAAGAACAAAAUUAAAAAUCACAUUAUAAUUUAGAAAUCAAAAUUAUAAAUAAUGUUACUAUAGACUAAUACCAGAUAACUGUGUUAAACUAAAAAGAGAGAAUCGAACUAUUAACGUGUAAGAAGACUUUUUAUGACUAUUUGAUUUUGACUAUAAAUUAAUGAUUAUUAUUGAAUUACAAAAAGUUUAAAGAGAAAAAUUUUGACUUGAAUGUUUGGAGUAUAUUCUGCAAGUUAUCCUUUACAUCGAUCGAUCAUUCAGGAUAAAGAACAAAGCAUCGACAGAGAGAAACUCUUCAAACGGUUAUUUUCGUUUCAUUUCAACAUGAACAUAAUCCUUAAUUAAAUCACAUCCAUGUUCUAUAUAAAUAGGGUUUUAUUUUAUGACAUUCAAAAAUUAUUUUAAUCUUUUUCAAAUUUUAUAAUUCUUCAAAUUUAGAAAAAGUUAAUUAAUAUGAAAGAUUAUGCCGUUAGGUGUGGAAAGUUUUGUUUAUAGAUAUAGAAAAUAAGAAGAAGAAUAAGAAGAAAUAUAGUGAGAAGAGGUGAAAAAAAAUCUAGUUGAUGUGGUUGGCUGAAAAAUUCCACAGAGAAACCGCAGAGGAAGAAAAACGUGAGCCACAAGAGUGGACUUAAAUACAUGGCCAUCCCCGAUGUUGAUUUGACCAAAGGAUGUCUCAAAACAAUUUUCCACAGUUGGGACAAUUCCAACACAUUACAGAAAAGAAGAACAUAUAUUCAAACACCAACAACAAAUAGUACUAUAUCCUUCUACUUUCAUUACUACACCACUUUAAACUUUUUUGUAAAGCAAUUAAGUUUGUCUUUAUAUAUGCAUGUCAGUUUUUAAUUUACUUCAAAGUAAUAAAUGUUUCGGAUGUAAAUCUUUUUACAAGUUUUUCAACACUUUGAGUUAGGUUUUCGUCAUAAAGUUUUUCUUAAUUUUUAAUAUUGCGAAAGGCAUUAUAAUGUUUAAGUUACACUGUGAAUCGAUUAUUACAGUAAAAUUUUAAAUUUAUAAUAAAUAUAAUAAUAUAUGUUUUUAUUUAUUUUUAUAUUCAUGGUUUGGAAAUAAACUUUUAAUUAGGAUAAACUUAAUCACAACCUAAAAAUUAAUGAAUGUGUUUUACUUAUAAAUGUGUUUAAUUUAUAAUGUAGAUAUCUAAUAAAUGUUUAACCGAAUCAUGACUCAUUUUUUGGAAUAAUCUUUCGGUUUAUAAAAUAAGUGAAAAUGGAAAUGACACUCUUAAUGACACUCACAUUUUUUUAUGAUCUUUCAAAAACAUCGAUCAUUCGGUUAAUGAAAAAUGGUCCAUCUUAUAAUACGAUAAAUCUUAGAAAGGAAAGUCUAAUCAACAAAAAUAAAAUACAACAUAUUCUUAGUCAUAUUAUAAGAAUUUAUAAUAAUAACAAAUAAAGAAAACAAUGAGAAGUUAAUUUUUUUAUCACAAUAUAUUACUUAAAUAUAUUAGGUAAUUAUCUUAUUGGUUAAAAUUAUAAAGAUAUAUUAAUAUUAAAUUUACGAUUAAGGAGAUAAUUGUUAUGAAAGAUAAUUAUCCGAUUAAUUAAAAUUAUAAAAUGAUAUGUUAAUAUUAAGUUUACGACUAUAAAUAUAAUUGUUAUGAAAACUUGCGUAGAUAUCAUAACAUAAUAUUCUAAUUUGACAAUGAACUGAAUUAGAAUUAUUAAUAUUUUAAAUAUGAUUUAAAAUAGUUAUAAAAUGGAUUAUGAUUUUCAUUUGUAAAUUAGAUAACAUUAUUUAUGUAUUAAGAUUUUAUUUUGUUUAAGACAAUGUAGAAUUGAAAUAUCACAUACACGGUAAUCUUAUCAUCCACAUUAUUUUUAAUGAGAAACUCAUAUAUUGUAUAAUAUGAUUGUCUGGUUAUCCCUGUAUCGGAUGAUCCAAACUGUCAGCCACUUCACAAACAUGACCACGACGACUAUCUCGAGACCAAGCGGUUGUAACUUUGAGAUUGAUCGAUCACCCUUCAAAACAAUUAAAUCUAAUACUGAUUAAUUUAUGGCAAAACAUGAUUUGUACCAAUUGGAUCAUGAGGUCGUCAAUAAUCUAAAGUUCAUUCUGAAAUCUAUAAAUACAUGUUUGACAUAAAGUGAUAUAUUAGAAUAAUUAAUACUCAUUUAAUACCAAAACUAUCAAAUCUUUAAUGAUUUUGACAUCAGAGUAUAUUCUACAGUUGAUCGAACGAGAUUUUAGAACAAACAAUGACAAAGACGAACAUUUGCUUCUUCAAGAUACACAUAACCCGAUAAACGGUUAACCUCAAUCUCAUAACCAAAACAAAUAUAAUUGUGAAUUUUUUUAUUAGAUUAUGAAUUUAUUAAAAAUUAAGAUACAAUUGUGUUAUGCAUUUUGUAUUUAUAUGGAUAAAAAAGUGUAUUUAGAUACAAAUAUUAUUAGCUAAAAAAAAUUUUCAUCUGAGUGAAAGAAUAUAUUUUUGUUAAUAUAAAAAAAACAUUUUUAUUCAUUUGAAUUCAUAACAAUAAGAUAUUAUUGGUAAUGUUUUUCUAGUCAAAUUUUUAUUUUUGUUUGUUUCUUAAAAGUGAUAUAUAAAUUCAUUCACCUUUGAUUUUUUUAAUUUUUGUGAUAAUUUUUAUUUAGAAACUAUAAACACCAAAUUAAUUCAAAAUAGUACAAAAUUGUUUGAUUUGAUUUUAGACUGCAUAAUUAGUUUCUAAUGAAGUAAAUUUCAUCACACAGUAUUUUUUUUUGUUCGCAAACGUACCAAACCUCACCAUAAACCACUAGUACAAAAAUCAUAUUUUAUGACGUACAAAAAUAAGUUAUGAUCUACAUAGUUUUAUAAAUAAAUUAUAACAAAAUAACAAUUUAUAUAUUUAUAAGUUAAAUGUAAAAAAGAUAAUCACUAGUAUAAAAAUCAUAUUUUUGAUAUUUUUUAUAUAAAAAAGGAAAGGUUUUUAGCACAAGACCUAUGCGAAUGGUCGCACGUGUGCUUUAAACCUUUAAAACGUAUUUUUAUUGUAACGUAUAAAACUAUAUACGUCAUAAUUUGUUUUUGUACGUCAUAAAAUAUGAUUUUUGUACUAAUGAACACCUUUUAUCUAUAAUAACUAAAGUUGAGUAUGGUGGGUUUAAAUUUUAUGGCUUACACCAACCUCGGAAAAUUCAUGACAAUUAUUUAUAUUUUUACAUCUAAUUCAACUUAUCUACUUUUUUACCCAUUAUACAUGGAAUUUUAUGAAUGAUGAUCAUCCAAACAAAUUCAUUUAUGAAAUGAUUGGAAAAUUUAUAAACACUUAUUUAAAUCUAGAUUUCACUUAAAAUUUUAAAAACAUAAUUAACAUCUAUAAAUCUUUAAUAUAAUUACACUCACUAAUAAGAAGUAAUGGACAAGCAGAUAAAGAAAAUUACAUAGAAGAGUGUAUUAUUAUAUUACGAAGAUAAUUGCUUUCUUCACACCAUAGUUUCUUUCUGCACCACUGUGGGUGUUAAAAAUAUUUAAAAUUUCAACAGAUCUUCUACCUUGAAAGAUUUAUAAACAUGUUUGUAAUUGCAUUAUCUAAAAUAUAUUUUAAAUUCAGAUAUGUAUGGUAAAUUAUACAAUUUAUAAAUUUUUUCAAUUUUUGUUUAAAUAUAUUUUAGGUUGUAUCAUUUAAAACAAAUUUCUUUAUUAUUAUUCAAAAUAUGUUUCUAAAUACUACAUCGUUUUAAUGCUAUGAAAGAAAGUAACACAUCUUUAAUAAUAAAAAAUACUUAGCUAAUAAGAACAUAUAAAAUAUGAUUAUAGAUAUUUAAAAGUAUAAUCAUAAUUCAAAAUUUUAUAUACAAAAUAUUCUAUAUUAUUAAUAAUAUUUACACAUUAACUAGAAGUUCGGCAAAAACAUUAAUAAUAAAUUCAAAUACUUUAUCUAAACAUCAAUUCCUUAAGCACCAGUGCAAUACUUUCCUAUAAUCAUAUCAAUUAGGUGAUCAUUUUCAAAGAAAAAAAAUCAACAAACAAACAAGCCAAAUCAACAGGGUAAACUAUUUUAAAAGAAUCAAACACACCUUCAUUCAAAUUAUAAACAUAAUAAUUCCAAUAUCAAGUCCAUAAAAAACCAAGUACAAAUUUAUAUACAUAUAUAUACACUUUAGACUUGACCAGCCGAAUACAUGUAUUAGUGUCGAACUAUUGGGGACUUAAAACAACGUACUACCCAAACUACCACACAAGAUUAGUUCAUCGAACACCUAUGGUCAAACUGACCUGAGGCUAAGGACCUUAUGUUACUCCUCCCAACAUAACCACCCUUCUCUACUUGAGGUUGGAUAGCUAUUGGAGUAAAAAAAUUCCCCCAUUUCAAAUCUCCUAUAGCCAUACAUAACACAAGCACAACACAAGGAUAUUCCUCGUGAAAUCCCAUUCACCACAUAUUUAAAUCGAAUACACUUUCAUAAUUUCCAUUCACAACGGCUUGAUAACUCUAUCACAAAAAUCUAUAGUUUUUUAAACAUACAUACAUUAAAAGUGUAUCUAAACCCUUUACAACAAACUUAAGUGCCAAAACAAACAUUGGAAAACCAUAGAAGCAAGAAAAUAUCAAAACAUGUAGAGUUUGAAAAAAUAGACUGACGCUUAACGACACACUCUUGCAAGUGAGCGCCAUUCUUCGCACAAAAUUGGCACUUGAGCGCCACCUUGGUGUAACUGAGCGCCAAAGCUCUCGGCUUUUAGCGCUUGAGCACCACUUGAUGCCGCUGAACGCCACACCAGAAGUUUAGAAACUUUAGAAUUUGAUCUAGAUGCACCCAAGACCCAUUAAAACUAUCUAACUUGUAUAUUUGAUACUAAAAUUGAUUUAAAAAAAUGUUUGUCCUUCAAAUUUGAUACCAAUUGACUCUUUUGGUUAAUGACUUAGUUCAUUAUAUCCAAAAACACAUACUUUAGAUGUGACAUGAUACCAACUAGAUUGUAGUGAACUAAUUAGCUAAACAAGUCUUAAAUGUCCUAAGAAAUAUAUAUAUAUAUAUAUAUAUAUAUAUAUAUAUAUAUAUAUAUAUAUAUAUAUAUAUAUAUAUAUAUAUAUAUAUAUAUAUAUUAACAUAUAAAAUACAUUUCAAAUUUUAGUUUUUUUUUAUUUAAUGACCUAUUACUAUGAAUUAUUAGAUUUUUAAGUGGUGUAAAAUUAAUAUUAAAUGUAAAAAAAUUAUAACGAAAAACUGAAAACCAUUACACAUAAUAUCAUAUUCAUAUAUUUGAGUACUAAUUACUAACGCAGUUUACAAAAAAAUAACUUAACAAAUUCUAAUUAAAUUUUAAUGAUAAUUAAAAUUUUAAUUAUGAAGUAAGCAGUCAAAAAUUAAUUUAAUUUAACUUUAUUUUUGAAAAAAAUUUAUUCUUUUUUCAAUCCAUUAAAUUUCUCUGAUUUCCUCGUUAAUAUAACAUUUUCUCAUAACUUCCUCUUUUCUUUAGAAUUUUUUUUUCAUAAUGUCACUUCAAUAUAACAAAAAUAACUUAAUAAAUAUAAUACUUUUUAUUCAAAUUAUUUUACGUUAUUGCAAAAAUAUUUAAUUCCACCCACAAAUUUAUUGUUUUAAAACAUUUUAAAAUUUACUUUAUUCAUUUUUUUCUUUAUUUUAUGACUUGUUACAAAAUAUAAUAAAAUAUUACAUUAAUUUUUAUCAUUUAAAAUUAAUAUGACACUAAAAUAAUUUAUAAAAAAAAAGAAACAUCAACACAUAAUUUAUUAAUAAAACACACUAUAUGAACUACAUUUCAAAUCUCAUUUUCAUGUUCUAAAUAAUUUCAUCCAUAAUUUCAAAUAAUUACUUUCUCUCUACUUAAUUUGAGUUCCUAAUACAUAUCAUCCUCUACACAAUUUUCUCUUUUUUAUUUUCUUUUUACACACACAGUAUAACCAAAACAAAGAUAAUAGCAUGUUCUAAGAUUGUAAAUGGAUAGAGUAUUAUAUAGUAUGUAAAAAAAAAUCGAUAGAGUAUCAUAUAAAAGGUAAAAAAAAAUGGACAGAGUUUGAAGAAAUUAAAACAUAAUUAAAACCAUUGCAUUUUUAUAAUUAAACCAUUACAUUUUAUGAUGGGUAUUUGGAUUUUAACGUGGACUAUUGGAUGAACCUUCUUCUUAUACCACCAUAUGUUUCUUCCUUCAUCACCACGUUUUAUAAAUAUCUUUUAGUUAAAAUUAAACUAUCUUGAUGGCUGCAAUGGAAAUAGAAGAUUUAUUGGAUCUUCAACGGAUGUCCAUAUCCGUCGACAAAUAUCGGUAUUCAUUGAAGGCCAAAUGAAUCUUUCAUUUUUGUUGAGACUUUUAAUAAUUUUUUUUAACAAAACAAUUUUUUAAAAUAAAUUAAAUCAAUUACAAAUAAAUAUAUUCUAAAUAUAAUAUUAGUUAAUAAAUCUAAAAGAAAUAAUUAAUAAACGAAAAAAAAAAUCAAUAGAGAAAACCAACGAAAAUGAAGGAUUCGUUAGGUCUUUAACGGAUACCCAUAUCCAUCGACGGAUCUUGAUAUUUGUUGAAAACCUAAUAGAUCCUCCAUUUCUAUUGAAGCCUCCAACGCUUUCUUUCUUUUGCACACAACACAUACAACAUACAUAGUAAAACAUAUAUCGAUUUUGAAGUGUUAAGGAGAUCAAAAGAAACACCAACAAAAGCACAUUCUCUUUGUAAACGAUCCAAACUACCUCAAUGAAAUGGGAAACAAGAGAAAUAGAGUACCGAAAAGAAAUAAAGAAAGGGAAAUGGAGAAAGGGAGGAAGAGGAGGAAAGAAGGAAGAGAGAAAGAGAUAAUUAAGAAAAUGAAAUGUAGGAGUGUGGGUAUAGUGGGACCGUGGAGUGAAAAGAGGAAAAUAUUAGGAUUUGAAAAAAUAAUUAAAAAUAAAAUAAAAACAAAUAUUUAUCUAAGGUUACUUUUGGAAUUAAGAAAAAUUGAAGUGGUGUAGGAAGAAAGGUGCAUUAGUGCAGGAAGAAGCAGUCCUAUUGGAUUCCACUAAUGAAAUAAAAAAGCCCAAGAGAAACUGGGUUCAGUACAUCUUAUUCCUACAAUUGUGAACUAACAACCUUGAUGAAGAUCAACGGUUAUGAUUCGGAUGCAUAUCAGAAGUGUGAUUUAUGUUAUACAUUGCGAUCCGUGUACUUUUAUCCAACCGUUACAAUUAACUUACUUGUGAAUUCGACUGCAGAGAAUCUGGGUUGGGCGGACACUGCUGGGAAUCAAAUUCAAUACUCUUUUUCUUUCAUUCUCUAAUAUUUUGUCGCUAACACCUCUGUUCCCAUUUCAAUUGAAAACCCUUGACAUUGUAAUUGUACUUUAGGUUACCCUUUUAUCUGUAUUUCAUAAAGUAAAACCCUUUCAUCCUUUUCUUAUUAUCAGUAUUGUUAUUUUCAGGUCGAGUUUGCCCAAAAUGCCGGACGUUCAGACCCUUGUCAAUGAUUUUGUGAACAAGCUUAAGAAACGGUAAUCGCUUACUCCCCUGAUACUUUUUGAGUUCAAUGAAUGGAGCAUUAGGAACCAUCAUCUGACUUUUGAUGUUCAUGAGCUGUUUUUGUGAUUUUCUGUGUGCGAGUUUGAUUUAUUAUUUAUAUAUUGUUUAUUUGUGAUUUCUUAUUUAUUUAUUUUGCUGAGUGAUGCUAGUAAAAUUGAAGGUUCACAGGCCACAGCAAAGCUCACAGCAGAGUUGCUCCGGUCUGUGAUAUCACAGCAGCGGGUGCCACACACAAACCAGGCCACAGCUCUGAUUCAUGCAGUAAGGGCUAUUGGGGAGCAGCUUAUUGCUGCCAAUCCUGUUGGUAUGUUAAGAUUAUUGUUUUUUAUAAUGUAUUUAUAACUAUAAAUAUGCAUGUUAGAGAUGUAAUAUAUACAAGUGAGAACAACCUUAUUACAUAAACCAGCCUUUUAGUUAAUCCGAAUACUAAGGUUGGAUUGAAACCUAUCCUAAAUGGUUGUUGUUUGACCGACCGAUAUUAGGCCGCUCGCAGAUGUCCGAUUCUGCAAAAUUGACAUUUGAUAUAUGUCUAGUCAUUGGUGUGAGAGGAGUGUUUGGAGAUCCUACAUUCACCAGUCAUAUGGAUAAGUAGUGUAAGUGGGAGGUCACACUCAUUCCAUAAACUAGUUUUUGAGAUUGAGUCGGAUCCUAACCCAAAUUCUAAGGAUGCACUUUGUAUUGAUGGUUGAUACUCAUUAGGUGCGUGACUAGGCCCAAUAGAAGAUCAAGGAAGCAAAACCACCUGAAGGAUUUGGAAUGACGGUGCAUGACUCAUUAGGUGUCAGUAGAGAAGUUUGUCACAGCUGUCAAUUACCUUUUAUCCCAUUUUGCAUGUUGCAGAUACCUUUUCCUGUUGCUACCAUGGUGGAGAGCCAACGACUGGGUAUUGUAAUUAGUUUAAAUACCACCAUCAUGAAUGGAAGGUGGCGACAAAUCAAAUUUGUUUUUUAUUUAGUCAAAGGAGGUCCUUGUCCUCAAAUUCAAGGAAAUAUAUUUGUGCCCCUAUCAGUCACAUGUAGAAGUCUAUUGUGAUUUGGCAAAUAUUAAGAUUCAUUUAUUGUUUGCCUUUCAUGACACGUACUGUAUGUGAUUGCAGAGCUAGCUGUGGGAAAUAUUGUGAGGCGUGUUCUGCACAUUAUAAGGGAAGAGGAUCUUUCCCUUGCAACAGCUGCUAUGGCUGGUUUGGGGGUAUCAGUUGCAAGUGACGAUGAAGAUGAUGAGGAGCGAGAUGAAAAUCCUGUUUUAUCUGCUGCUGCUGUAGCAGCUGCUGCUAGAAGUACAUUACGUCCACCGUCAUUACAAACUCUUCUAGAGGAUACGUCUGAUUCAGCUGCCGCUCCGCACACAUCUUCCUCUGGGGGUGAAUCUGACGGGAGAAGUAGAUGUGAGGAUGACACUUGACUAUUGAGAUUUUUAUAACUUUUGUAAUAUUUUCAAGAUAUUUUUCUUUUGCUUCUUAAUAAAAAAAGGGUUUUGGUUAUUCAUGGUUAAAUGCAAUAAAGUAGUCAGUUUUGUUUUUAUUUCUUCCUUUUGAAUGCAAAAGUCCAUGCUAGACUAAUGAUUUUGUUAUUUUUUAUGCUUUUGGCUUAUGCGUAAAAUAUUAUCAUUUUCUCAAUUUUCUUAACGAUAUUAGAAUACUUGAUUGAUUUUUUACUGUUUGUUUAUUGUUGAUCGUUGUGAAUAAUUUAUAAUACCGUUUCCUUCUUAUAUGACAUUUUAUGAUGAAAUAUUUGUUUUUGUUUUGGUGUUUAAUUGCAUGUCUUUUUGUUUUCCUUUUCUGCAGCUAUUGAGAAAGGUUCAAGAGUUAGGAAGUUGAAACAUGAUGUCAUUGAAGCAGUUAAUGAACUAAUUCAAGACAUAUCUACUUGCUAUGAACAAAUAGCUGAGCAGGCAGUGGAGCACAUUCACCACAAGUUUGUUUCAUAUGAAAACAAUCUAAAUAUAUAUUAUUUAUGUUUAGAUACUUUAAAGUGCUUGUCUGAAAACAUAUUAUACUUGCUUUACAAAAUCCGAAUUGUUAUGAGACUCCGAAUAACUUGCAUCGAAACUUUUAUAUAUUUACAGACCAUAUUUUGAGCGGAUAAUGCUCCAGUAGUCUUGGUAUUUUAUUCGGGAGCAAUCCCAAGACUUGUUCUGGUGUAAAUGGGUAUUUGUAUAAAGGGUUCCGACAUCCAAGAGUUAUUCUCUUAAUGGAGCAUUGAAAGAUUUUAUUUCCUUAGUCGACUAUUCUUUAUCAAGCCUUAACAGCGAAAAGUACAUUAUAACUAUUUCUAGAUGUUCUGAUGAAUAAUUACAAACUAAGCGGUUAAUUGUUAUUUAUAGCCAUUGUAUUACAGGCAAUGCACAUGUUAAAUGUCCAACUAUAUAGGAAAGUUCCAACUAAUUUUUUAUGUUAUUAUUCAUAUCGUCGAGUUUAUCAAACACUUGUUAAAAUCACCCCUUCUUAAUCUACACUACUGGUCCAUACGUUUUCCUUAUAUAUUUUUAUUUUUUUCUGAUAUUCUUGGUAUCUUAAAAUAACCAAGGCAAUGAUUCUUCUUUUGAUUUUAGCUAUCAUGUCUUGAUAUUAGGAUUUUUUUUUCUUGUUUAGACAGAUUAAAGUCUUGUAUUGUUUUUUCUUAUCUCUUCCACUGAUAUUGGCGUGUUUUUCAGUGAGGUAAUUUUAACGUUAGGCAGCUCAAAAACAGUUUUGGAAUUUCUUUAUGCUGCGAAGGAAAAGCAAAGAUCAUUUAAGGUCUUUGUUGCUGAAGGUGCCCCAAGGUUUGUAGUAGUGGCUAUCCAAUAUUUGCAUGGAAUGAUUGUGAUUUACUAUUAAUAAAUUUGUUUAAAUAUUCCAUAAGACCAUUUAAUGUCUGACUGUGUGUGCAAUCAGAUACCAAGGACAUAUCCUUGCAAAAGAAUUGGCUGCCAGAGGCUUACAGACCACAGUAAUUUCUGAUUCUGCCGUUUUUGCAUUGAUUUCCCGAGUGAACAUGGUAUGUGAAAAUCCUGGCAUAAAGUUUGGAAUCAAUUAAGACUCCUGUACUGAAGUUAAGUUGAUUUGACCGCACCAUUUUAUAGGUUAUAGUUGGAGCUCAUGCUGUCAUGGCUAAUGGUGGAGUUAUUGCCCCAGUUGGGUUAAAUAUGGUUGCACUUGCAGCUCAAAGGCAUGCUGUUCCAUUUGUUGUACUUGCUGGGAGUCACAAGGUGAGUUCUUAACAUGUAAUAUCUUUGUGCCCUCACAUCUGGCAUGUUCUUCGGAAACAAGAAUGCUUAUGACUUCUGAUGUUUCUAUAAUUUACUUCCUUUCCUGUUCUGUUUAACUUGGAAAGAGAUGGCAGGUUAUUGUGAAAUACUUGGGUGAGGCAUAGAAUAUGAAUUAUUUUUUGCACACAUGGACUCGAGAAUUAGUUGUUGAUAGCAAUCAGCACAAAGUAGAAGAGAUAAAAGAAAUUUGUGUAUUAUUGCUCACUCUGUCCAAACAUUAUAGAGGGGAAGAAUCACUCACUAUUCGUGAUACAAUGACCAAAGUCCCAAAUUCCACCUUUUGUCCUCCCUUCAACACGUGCUCACCUCCCCUCUAUAUUCUCCCCUUCUCUCUCUUCAAAACAAAAAAUAUUCCUCACCUGAUCCCACCUUCAGCUCACCUGCCACUCAGCAAUUCUGCUAAGAUCCCAAUCAUUGGGUGUGUGCUGGUGGACCCCACAAAAUAGGUUUCCACUUCCUUUCACACACCUUACUGAACUUCCCACUUUGCCCUUUUUCCUUUAAACUUAUACUUGUAUCAAUUGUUAUGGAUUGGAUGAUACAUACAGCCUAUACAUUUAUAAUUUGGAUUAUCAGAAUAAAAAGAAUACAUAAUCAAUGUAGUAUUUUGAAUUUGUUUCACCGAAGUUUCAAAAUGAAUAGCCAAACAAUUCUUGUGAACCAAAUAUCAGGCAAAAGAAGUAUAAUGAGUUUAAGUAAAAAUUUAUAUGGAUCCAUGACACUAGUUUUAACUUCUGCAUCUUUUUGUUCUUUAACCCAAAAUGGAUGAUAGAAAUAGUUUACGAGCUAUGAACGGUCAAUCCAUAAUGUUCAAAUACAAGUUAGUCCCCGUUUUGGCUAUUUAGACAACUUAUUAUUCAUCAGAAGGGUAUUGAUGAAGAGAUGAAUACAAAAUCUUUGGAUGACUUGGGAUUUGGUAAUGUAUUUGUAUAAAUACAAAAUCUUUGAAAUAUACAUCUAAACUAAAUAGCUUGUAACUUUUUUAGCCAUUAGUUUAAAAUGAUGUUACUGAAUUUUUUAUUCGGAUGAGGUCUAAUUUCUAAUGUAUAAUAUGGACCGUAAUUAUUCCAUAUCUACUAGUUUUGUAGAUGUUCUCUCUUAAAAAAAUUUGCAUUAUCUGAAAAUGAAGGUACUGAGCGCCAAUCAAUUUUAAAGAAGCUCCUUAAUUAUAUUUCUGUUAACUGCACAGUGUAUUUAUCCCUAAUGAGGGAGAUUUGUAAUUCUGAAAAUUUGAAAAUAAUUUGUUUGAUGAUAAUGAAGUAGUUUUCUCCAUUAAUAUUAGUAAUAGUGUACUAUACCCCGAUGCUUUCCAUUAAUUGCUUUUAAGGAAACUUUGAUAAUAUUACUGAUAUUAAGUUCAAGGUCCAAGUUGUGAUAAUAUUACUAAUAAUGUACUAUACCCCCAUGCUUUCCAUUAAUUACUUUUAAGGAAACUUUGAUGCCAUUUAAAAAAUAGUUUAUGAUCUCCCUCACCAUCUCAGUUACCAACACUUUUUGGCAUUUGCUGAAAAUUGCUAUAUUUUGUUGACAGUUGUGUCCUUUGUAUCCACACAAUCCUGAAGUCCUUCUUAAUGAACUGAGAUCCCCGUCUGAGCUACUUGACUUUGGGGAAUUCUCAGAUUGCAUGGAUUCUGCAAGCGGUGCUGGUUCUCUUCAUGUUGUCAAUCCAACCUUUGAUUAUGUGCCGCCAAAAUUUGUUAGUCUAUUUAUUACUGACACGUAAGUUAGACUCAAAUUGAUUGCAAAAACUUCCUUUUCUUUGUCAUUGACCACAGAAAAUUAGUGUCCUAAUCGGUUUCCUUUUCUGCAUUCACCUGACUGGAAAUUACUUCUCAGGGGAGGGCACAACCCGUCAUAUAUGUACCGGCUCAUAGCUGAUUACUAUUCAGCCGAUGAUUUGGUGGUGAAACGAAGACCUAUUACAGGGAGUUGAGUUCAGCUACCCCAAAUUUUGUCCUAUAAGUGUAAGUAAGCAAUGAAAUAUUUAUGUAUGUACUUCUGUUUAUUAUUGUUUGUGUCUCUGUCACUGCUGUAUUUGGUUGAGAUUUCUUGUGAAACAGCUGUGUAAUUUCUGAAACAAAAUUUAUUUAUUAUGUAUAGAAGUUGAAUUUAGAUUUUCUACCGAGUUUAUAAUAUUAUUCUUGUGUUUUCAAAAUAUACUUAUUUGGUAUUUUAAAAUAUAUUAAAAUCAGUGUAUUUUGAAGACACAAUAGAAGAACAAUACAAAAAACCCAGUAGAGGAUUUAGACUCGUAGAGGUUGGUGUUUGUGCAACAGUCAAUAUUAUGAUAGACUAAUAUACUAUCAGGCUUAUAGAGACGGGAAACAUUAAUUGUUAUCUUUAGUUUAUUUUUAUUAAAUAUAUAAAUACCUGUAUAAUGAACAUUAUGAAAUUAUAAAAGAUUUUUGAAGCAACACUUGUAAUAGUUUUUUAUGUUUUAAAGGAAACUUCUAUUCAAUGACAUUUGGGUGGUCCAUUUUCAGGUUGUAGGUGCUGUGUGUGAUGAACCAUGAGUUAGAGACCAUGCUCACAUUUGUGCAGUUGAAAAUGAACCUAGCUCAAUUCUGAGAAUUGAGUUGGAAAAAUUGUACGCCAUUGAAAUGAUAUGGAAAAUACCUAGUGAAAUUAAGCUUUUGUGGUUGUUGACUUCGUCAAUAAAAAAAAAAAAAACUUGUUUUAGUUUCCAGUAUAACAAUAGCCCCCCAUUUUUAUCUUGUACAUUUUGUUUCCUCCCAAAGAAAUGAUAAUUGUAGUUUUGGCCUCAUAUAUUCAACAUUUACUUUGUUAUUUGAAAAUAUGGUUAUGAUGGUGACAUCUAUUUGUUAUUUGAACAAUUCAAAAUCCUAGAUUUUUGAGAAAAUAAAGUUAGUAUGGUUUGUCACGAAACAAAAAAAGCAAUAGUUUUCAUGCCAGAAAAAAAAAUAUUUUAUGUUCAUUGUGAAGUGGAAUAAUCUCUCUUAAUUAUCUUUUGUUUUUCUUAUUGUUAAUUGGUCCUAGAAGAAAUUGUAGAUUCUUCAAUUAAUAGUAAGACUUUUAAUUAACAUUAUCUUUAAGGAAACAGUAAUAAAUUAAGAAUCCUCCCAUCUUAUUACGAAGUAUAUGGAGAAUAACAAACGAUAGUCAUUAUAUUUACGGAGUUUCUGCAGUAGUAUGGAGAUUUAGUUCAAUUCAUAUUUUUUCAUGUGUCAAACAAACGAUACCUUCAGUUUUCAACAUUUUUUCCAAAGAAUUUGAUGUCACUGUCCUCUUUCUGCAAGUACCAAAAUCUGAAAUCUUUAAUAAUUAAUAUUGAAACUCCAAUCUCAUAAUUGAUGGUAAAAAUGUUCAGUUGCAGAAGAUAUGAUGACAAAGACAAAAGCCUGGUAUAUAACAGGUUCGGUUAAGAAUUCUUUUAAGAUUUUCGGCAGACUGAUUGAUUGAAACGAAAAGAAACAAUAAUUUUUUAUACCUUCACUUUCCUUUUAUCUCUCCAAAUUUACAAACCAAAUAAAAUAUUCAUGAUUCUCUCCCCUCCUACAAAACAGUAGGGAGGUCUCCUUUUGUAAUUCCCUUCAUAAAUUGAUCACUAAAAUUAUUUCUCCAAUCACCAAAUACAUCGCAUCGAGAAAAAUAUGCCUUCGUUGGGGUAAAAACAGAUAUUGACAGCAAUAGGGAAACGCGAGAGAGGGCAGAGUUUCUAUAAGAAGAUUUACUGUGCUGGCAGAAAACCAAAUGCAUUUAACUAUACCAAUCAAGAAAGAGGAUUGAAAAAGUAAGCACAAAUAGAAACAGUAAAAGAAAUGUCCUGCUGCUGCUAUUCCGCUGAAUGGCUUGUGAGAGUUCUUUGUUACCGAGCUCAACAUUCUUAGUGGCUUCAAUAGCCUGUAAAAGCCAGCAGAAGCACGAUUAUAUUUCUUAGAAAUUGGAAAUACAACUAUUUUUAGGCAGAAUAAACAAAUUGCAAGCACUGUGGUGCACUACCUGUGAAAAAUAUUAUACCUUAACGAUUGUAAUUAAAACAAAAAAUGUUGACUAUUUAUUGUAAUUACGGAAAUUUUAGUUUUCUUGGGGUUCUUGCCUAUUGGGGGUUAUUUUUGAUAAAUUUGUUUCAAGAUUUUAGUCACAUUAUUAUCGGGACAACAAGUUGGAUUUGCAUACUAUUAAGAUAGCUGAUUACUAAGAUUUGCAGAUUUAACCUUGAAUUUGAGAUCAAUCAAUAUACCAAUCCUAUUUUUAUAUACGUGACCUAUUUCCAUCCCUGUUCUACACUAAUUCCAGUUUCACAUUACUUGGCUAACUUGGAAGGUGGGUUAAUGACGGGGAGUGGGCAGUAUAGACAUGAUAGAUGGCAGCCUUCAUGUGUUCCCAAAAAACCAGAAAACAGGGGGGAAGAGUAUGAUAUGUUAUCUAACCUGCUCAUAAAGAUGCUCAAUUUGCUGAGCUUGCUGCAAAACAUGAGUAGACAUGAGGUGAUUUAGUGCAGACAUUUCCACCAUCUUAGUUUCGGUUUCUUGAACUGUAUCGAGAAGAUUAGUCAAUUCCACCUACAGGAAAAGAAACAAUGGCAAAGGGUUAGUCACGAGAAUCUAAAAAUCUUCGAUUAAACAAACGACAGAAUAAGACCUACAGAAAUUUAUAAAGAAUUUGAUUUUUACACCUGCAGGGCACGUGUUUCAUCGUCCAAGAGUUGUUGCUGGACUCGUAGAGGCUCAGCACGUAACUCUUCGGGUUCUCUGAGCUCCAUGCCAUCUGGUUUUGAGGUUUCUGCAGAAUCUUUUCUGGUUACACGGUUAAGUUUUCUCCGUGGAAUUGCUUUAUUAAUAGCGUCCUGGAAGCGUACAGCUCUUAGCUGAUCAAACUGUGCAGUGACUGUAUGGAGUCUCUCACUUAAAAUUAGAACCUAAAAUUGGUCCCAAGUAAACGUUAGCAUACAAAAACGUAAAUAGCCAUCUCAAUUCAUGAACUUGUUAGUAUUCAGAUAACAUUAUCAAGCAUACAUUCUGGCAUAAGGGAUCAUCAUACAACUGCUCAACCCACAUACGUAACUAAUAACUGAAAAAUCAACAAGCACAAGAUGUCCUCACCACCCCAUGUUUGUGGGCAAUCACAUCGGCAUUAGAUUUUGUAGUCGCAAUGCCAAGCCAACCUUUGGAAGUUUCCUCUUCUUGAUUUAUACUAUUCUUAAGAAUAUCAAUUUGUUCCUGGCAUGUUUUAAUAAAAGUACUAACCUGCACCAAAUUAAUUACAAUAUUAUAGUAAGUGAUAAGCAAAACUGAUGCUAUACGAUUAAGAGAUAUCAUUCUUUUUGACUCAAAAACACAGAAAAGGCUAAUAAAAAUUAUAUACGCAGGUAAAGACCAAAUUGCUUGGCAGGCUUAAAAUAAGUUAUAUCUAUAUAUUGUUGUGAGCUGUGAACUUUGAAAGAAUGGUGUGAACAACAUAUACAAAAAAACACAGCCUUUGAAAAUUCGACUGUGCACUGAUGUGUGAGAACUCCUUCGGAAGGAAAUAAAAAUGAGAGAACCAAUGUGAUUUAAUAAUGAUAGUGCUAGCAAUGAAAAAUAAAAUUAAUACCAGCCUAAGAGGGGACCAUAAACGAAUAACACGUUAGUCCCAAACAUAUAUAUCCUAAUCUCUUCUAUCACUCGCUUCUUCAUCAGUUUCUUGCUAUUGGUAAUUUCUCUUUCUAUUGGCUGUUUCUUCCCCUAGACAACAUGUAUAAAGGAACAGACUUCACGGACCAAACCGCAAGGCUGCCAAGUAAACUAACUCAUGUCUUAUCAUGUACAGCACAGUGCUGAGAAAGCUCUAAAUCAUCAAUGCCAGCCAACAACAAGAAUGAAAUCAAGCCUAAGGAGAAACACCACACUAUUGCCAAUAAGUACUAUUUUCAAAUCAUCAAACAUGACACCAGAAUACUCUUAAACCAGAAUCCCAGCUUACUUCAUGCUCGAUGCUAUCUCUUUCCUUUUCUGUGGUGCGAUGCAGAUCCGUAUAGUCCUUUCUAUGCUUCAACAAAAACUGAUCCAGCUCUCCAAUACUCUCCAGCUAAAAACAAAGACCAAGAAAAAAAGUCACAUCAUAUAAAAUUAGCACAGCACAUAGCUACAACCAUGAAUAAAUUAAUCAUAGCUCACUGAAAAGAACAAUUUGAAAGCCGAGUUUACCGUCUUCAAUGCGGCUUUGGAAAAUGGAGACCUUUGCGGCGGUUUAUGAAUGAUGAAAGAUGCCAUAAUUGACGCUACUUUAGCCUGCCAAACGAAUUCCAUCACAGUGAGAUUAGAAACCAUUCAACGCUCAAACCAAUAACCAAUUAGAACCAACACGUGUUCAUAAACCCUAUUUAGCCAAACCCAAUGUGGCAUUUUCACACACUAGAAAAACUAGCGAUUUGAAUAAUGAAGAUCGCAAAAUUGUGAAUGGCGAACCUCGUCGUAGCCCAAAGAGUGAGCGGUGCGGCGCACGGUAUCUUUGAAAUCCUCGGUUCUGUCCCUCGCUUUUCCCAUCUCUCAAUUGCGAUCGAUCAAUGGGAAUUCAGAAAGAAGCAAAGGAACCGAGAUAUCGUGCGACGCGAUAUGAUGAUAGGAUACGAUACGAUUCAACGAGUUUCAAUUUCAAAUUCGGAAGGAUUGCAUGGUGUAGUUGUGCUUGAAAGAGUGAAAUACAAGUAAAUGGGUCGGAGAAGGACGCUGAAGGAAGCUCUGCGAAACCUAAACAAAGGGAGGAAGAAGAAAAGAAGACGAAGACGAAGACGAUGCUUUGAUGAGACCUAAACGAAGCGUUUCACUCCAUAGGAAAUUUUUUUCCUUUUCUUUUCAAUAUUUUUAUUCAAUAUAUUAUUUUUUUGAAGAUAUAGUCAAUUUGACUAGCUUGUUUAAACUUAAAAUAAAUAUUUUUAAAACUGAUUUUUUUUCAAAAAUAAUUUAUUUGAAAAAUAAAUAGAAUUUUUAAUUAAAUAAGAUUAUUUGUCUUUAACAAAUAUAAAUUUUUAUUUGUCUUUAAUACAAAUUCAUUAAAUAUUUGAGAGUUCAUAUUUUUUUAGGACAUGACCUUAUUCAUUCUUAUGAUGUUUUAGUGACAUCAAUUAUAAAAUGAAGAAAUUAAUAACACUAUCUGAGUAACUUUUAUUAUCUCUUAUUGUUUAAAAAUCAGAUCAAUGGAAUGAAUCUGAGCUCAUAAUAAAAAGUGUAUCAGACUAUACAAUUUCUAACUAUUUCUUAAAUUUUAGACAUUUAAUAUGAACAUUACCUUAUAAUAGUAGUAGUUAAACCGAAUUAAAGUGGGAAGAAAUCCCAAAUUAGUUGAUGUUGUUAUCUUGAACCAAAAAAUAAUUAUUACUUUUAAAUCAUUUUCAGUAAACUAAUUAAUAUUUUAUUAUUGUUAUUUUUAGUUUAUGUAAAAAAAUUACUUUCUAGGAAAUCUAUGAUGAUAAACUAUAAACUAUAAUAAAUAUAAAAUGAUGUAGCAGAAAUUAAGUUUCAUAUUACCUUCCCAUUAAGUAAAAUUGAACAAAAAAAAAUUCUUAUUUGGUAAAUUUAAGAUUAACUAAAUUUAAAUGAGCACUUCCUUACACCUCUCAAUUCCCAUUCUACACUCUUAUAAUUACAGCAUAGCUUAUAUCGAUUUUGUGAAAAUUAAUAAUAAUUAAUAAUGUAUUAAUAAUUGCUUCCUUUUUCACCAACUAAUUUAAUGAAUUCCCUAUACAUACAUGCACUCCCUCAUUUUUAAAACAUACUCUUUUUGCUACAUUUUUGUCUUUAUUUGUGUUCAUUCUAGUAAUGUUUCCUAUAUUUGUUGGUGGUUCCGUUGUACUAUUGGUGGUGGUGCUAUGUCUCGGUAUGUGGUGUUGUCUCCCCAUAUGUUGUGUUUGUUACGGAGCGUAGAAGACUUCAUUCAAGGUGGGUUUUAAGUUAAAAACUCUUAACCGAACUUUAAAGUUUGAUUAAGGCCUUGCUGCGUUCAAACGCCGAUUGAGGCCUUGUUGUGUUUCAAAAUGCGACGAGGCCUUAAUUGAUUUUUGAACACCAAAUCAUACUUCGAAGUUUGAUUAAGGUCUCUAAACCUCCAUUCACGCCAAUCAAACCAGAAAUUCGCACAAAUCCAGACAGAUGACAUGCAUACCUUUUACAUAUAUGAUUCAAUCAUACAAUUCAAUCCAAUUUCUACUUCAAUCCAUAUAUACAAGCAGAAAAAUUUAAUGCAAACGACAAUACAUGCAACAACAUUCAAUGAAAACGAGUAGAGAAAGAAAAAUCAACUUUUAGUAUAGAAGUCAAAGAUGCGAAAAUAAGAUCCAAACACCACCACACCAUCACGUAAUUGGUGAAGGACGAGAAAUAACAACAUUACGACAAACAAUAAGCAACCAAAGAUGAGCGCAACAUAGAAAUGAUGGUGAGGGAAGGCUUCAAAAUGCAGUGAGAGAGAGUAACAAUAGAAGUGUGAGAUCAAUAUCAAUAAGAGGAAGUUGUUUAGAGACGUAAAAUUUUGGUUUGAAAUUUUGAAACAUAAUCUUAGUCAAAAAUUCGUAUUCAUAUAAUGUGUAUAUAAUGUUCAGAUUUUGAAAAAGUUAUUAUGGAUAUUUCGGAAAUGCAGAUGAUAAUUGUAAGGUGUAGGAGGAAGAAGAGUUCAAUUGGAACUCCAUAAACUUUAUUUAAUACAAUUGUUGUAAAAGUAUUGUAAAAUAUAAAUAAAAAUAUUAAAUAAAUUUGACCAUCCUUCUUAAUCAAUAUAAAAAUGAUUAAUUUUAGCACCUUGAAAUUACACCAAACACUACAAAUCCUAAUUAAUAGAAAACAUAGAGAUGAUAAAAUAUUUAAUGUUUUUAGACCAAAUUUUAAUAUCAAUUAAAUUAAAGUUUAAUAAACGGAUUUCAGUUACAGUUCUGCAAAUGUAACCUUCCUUUUUGCAAAUCUUAAAGCUGAGUCGUCAACAAAAGAAAAACUAGAAAAACAGAGAAAAACCAGAAAGAGAAAAGAAGAAAGAAGGAAUUUGUAUUGACUGGACCCACCAAUUUGUUUUCCUUUUUCUCAGUUUCUAUGAUUUCAUCUAAAAGGUUAGAAAAUAAAUACAUGCUUUGUUUUCUAUUCACUAACGUUACAAAGUAGCUAGCUCAAGUUUCAAUCUUCAAACAAAACAAAAUUAAUUAACACUCACAGUUUUUAAUAAAAUAUUAAUGACUUCUUAAUUUGUUUCAAAAUGAAUUACAUUGAUGCUUAUAUUUACAUUAAUAAAUUAUGUUAAACUUAAAAAAAAAAACUAAUUUUAAUUUUGAUUAAUGUAUAAAAACAUAUUUAAAUGUUUUUACAUAAUUUUGUUAUAUGUUUGAAUCAUUUGAAAAGAUGUAAGUUGAAGUGAAUGGUGAAAAGGCGAAGAGAGAGUGUUGGGUGAGAGAAAGAGAAACAAGUUUUUUGAGCAUCAUUGUCGAGUCAAAUUCAAGAUCAGUUACUUUCCAGCAUGUCAUCAGAAGCUGCUUCUCUGGUUUCCUUGUAGUAUCACAACAAACAAAAUUCACAACUUCCAAACAAAAAUAUAAUAUAGACUCAUUGGUAUGUUACUUUUUGGUUACCUUAGACUUUCAAACGCUGCUUAUUUAUUACAACUUUUGUUUCUACGUCCCCUUCAUUUCCCCUCCACACUCUAUAGUAAAUGCUUUUCUGCACAAAUGAAUCUCAUUGAAGCAGUUUCUCUGUGCUGUGUGCUUCCUUCAGUUUUUGCCUUUGCAUGCAACUCUGCUCACUCCACCAGUGCUAACUUUUUUACCUGAGAUUAAAAGAUCAAAAGGGUAUGUGACUUCACCUUGGUAUCUGUAAUUUGGUGUCUGACAGGUUUUACGUUUUUUUUUUCGUAUCAUUUUUCACUCAGAAAUGUUCAUUCUUUACCCCUUUAAUGCAGGACUUACGUUUUUGUGUUUCAAGGCUCUUAUAGUUGAUACAAGUAAGGGUUAUUCAUAGUUUUUGUGCGACUUUUGGCUUCUGUACUACAAAUUUUUGGUCAUUCUGUUGUUUUAUGUUUUAUUUACUUUUUGUAUUUUGCUUCUUUUUGGUUCUGGUUUAGAAUACUGCUAAUAGUGAUUUUACUAUACUUGAAUAGUAUUAUCUUUGGUGAAGUUUUGGUGAAGGAUAUUUGUUAAAAAAUAUCAGGCAUUCCAAUCAAAGUCGGCAAAAAGGAAUGGAAUGUAAGAGAGGAAAAGAGAAGGUUCUAGCCAAAGAAAAAAACGUAAAAACGGCAAGGAAAAUUAGAAUUGUGUACACUGACCCUGAUGCUACAGAUUACUCAAGUGAAGAAGAAGAAGAAGAAGGAGAAGAUGAUGAUAAGUUGUUGAGAAAUGGCUAUGAGUUAAGUGGUUGCUCCAAGCGGGUUGUGAAGGAAAUCUUGCUUCCAUGCAUGCAAAACAAGUUACAAGAAGAGAAUUCAUCACAAGAUGUAAACAGUGAAAAGAUGAAAGGAAGUCCAAUCGAAUUUUCAAGUAGGAGGAUGAGGAAACCAUCAAGCAUGUACAAAGGUGUUCAACGUAGGAAAUGGGGGAAGUAUGUGGCAGAAAUCAGAGACCCUAUUCAAGGGGUGAGAGUGUGGCUUGGUACAUUUGAUACUGAACAGGAGGCUGCUAUGGCUUAUGAGAGAAAGAAGAAUGAGUUUGAAAGGUCGAGAAAAAGGGAUGCAGUGGCUUUUGACAGUUCCAAAGAAGUGUUGUUUCAUGCAUCUCCAUCGUCAGUUCUUGAUGUCUGCACUACAAAAGCUUCACUAGAUGUUAGUGACCUGAAUGAUUCAGUCAAAGAAAAGUUCAAUGUGGAAAAGGUUGGUGAAGGAGGAGGCAAUGAUGUGGAAGCAGUUAACAGUGAAGAUAAUUCAACACAGCUUUUGCUGGAGGAGCCAGUUAUGCCAUCAUUGUUUGGUUAUGAUGGUUUCUGUUUGGAUGAAGCAGAGAAAAGGGGAAUUCUGCUUGAUGAAGAGUGUUAUAAUUUCUUGGACAAUGACAUCAAAGGUGGUUUUAUGUGGAAUGUGGAACAUGGGGAUACCACUGUUCUUCCUCCUGUGGACAGUGCUUUUGAUGAGUUAGCUUGGAUUGAUGAAACUCUAGAUUGGGAAAGCUCAUAAAAUUUUUUAGUCACUUGUUUGGACUGGUUUUUGCAUUAGUUUAUCUGAAACAAAAUUUUUUUCAUAAGUCAAAGUUAUUAUGUAUAACUUACAAUUAAAAGUUUAGAUAGAUGAACUUCUAUAAAUUACUUUAUUCAUAAGUUGAUUUUGAUUUAAGAAAAAACUAUGGUUUUUACUUUUCUUUUAUAGAAGUUUAUGCAGAAACUCGUUUAAUAUUUUCUUCAGUGUGUCCUAAUAUCUUUGAUUAUUUCCUUCUUGCUUAUUAUAUCCACUUUGAAAAGACAUUUCUCCCGAGUGUGUACUUUAUUUGGUUUUGGCUACUGUUAUAGCAUGGAAAAUCAAAACAAAAAGAGAAUGCCAAAGUAAAGUUAAAAGCAAAAGCAUCACAAUCACAAAGAAUAAAUGUUCCCCGCAUGAAAAUAUUUAGCUACUAUUUUCCCCUAAAACAUGAGCAUAAAAAACUAAUCAAUCACGGAUCAUUUGAAAAUAUCCUUGUUUAUUCCUGUUCUGCUCGGGGUGUCUGACAACGAGAAUGAACAGGUUUGGAUGAACUUAUUCUAAGCUUUUUUUAAAGGAGAAAAAAAAAACCCAACUUCCAAAAUAUUAGAAAAAAUAUAUAAAAUUUUCAAUUAUGUAUAAACUAAUUUGUUUUUUUUAGAAAAAACUUUUGGAAUAGUUCAUCCAAAAAGACCCAAUCUACAGAAAGACGCCGAUUCUCAUAAAAUUUCGUGCAAUAGAUAAAAAUUCAUUUCAUAUUUUCUUCAACGAGUUUAAGUUUAAUAACUCAACGGAAAAACAAGUACAACCUAAAUUUGUGUUAACAAAGAGGAGAGAAAACAACCAUGAUGUGACUAAACUUUCAAGUACAAUGGGUAAUUAUUUGAAGAAUUGGAGGGGAAACGAGGGACGUAAAAGCCAAUUACUCAUAAAUUGAUAAAUAUUUCACUAUUACAUUUGGAGAAUUGGAGUUUCAAUUUUGAAGAUGCUGCAUAAAACUCUCCCAAAGAGUAGUGAAAAUAGCAGCAAAUUUGUCUUUGAAUAUCAAAAUAUUUUAGGACUAACUGCUCUCUGAACAUCGUAACACAGCAAGUUCUUGACGAAUUUUAAAGCACUUUCAAGUUCCACGCAACAUCAGAGCUAGAAAGGAGGAAUUUGCAGAUCAAUUGCAAGACGAUGCUUAUCAAGUGAAAUUCACAGCAAGAUCUCAUGAUGCUCCUUCACGGCUAAAGGAAUCAGAAUAGUACGAAAUCUUGAAAGGGAAAGAGGACAUAAUGGUAACCAUUGAAUGAGAAUUACCACGGUGACAAUGCUUUGACUCUCAAUCUCCAUAUUUGUUAAUCAGCUUAAGGUUCAGACCUCAGACAUUGUUGUUGUUUGCUAAAAGCCAACUCACAUACAACAGCAAGGUGAUCACUUCCCCAUUUCUACAAGGCAUAAGAAUCAUAAAAAUCCAAAAUGGAACAAGAUACAUCAGCGCAUUACAGUAUAUGGUUUCAAAGAACUAACUUUAAGUAGAUUACCUCACUGGGGAGUCCUCCAGAUCUUCUAAGAAUAUCAAUUGGCAAGGUUUCAAGAACUCUAAGUGGAACAAGAUCAUCGGAAUGCCUGAUUACAAAUGACAUCGGUCAUAACUAACAAACAUACAAUCUGUAAAUGCAUAUAACUUUUGGCGUUUGUUAAACAAUAUAAUUACCAGAUAUAAUCAACAGUUCCCAUGAACUUGGAGUGGUAUGAUGUUGCCAAGGGCUCCCCAAUAUCAUCUCUUGUUCUAUGGUCUCCCUGCAGCCAUGAGAUUUAUGAAGAUGAAGUGGGAAAUAUCAAGACUGUUAGAAUAUCAAACUAAAAUCUUUAAGGAGUUUCCCAUAUUAAUAUUAGAUGUACAAUCUUUAUAUCACAAUCACAGAAGUUGCCGAAAUAACCGAUUGUAACAAUUUUAGCUGGCAGAUUAAAACAACAUACAGGAACACCACUGUAAGCACUGCGGAGUUUGAGCUGGUGCUGAAGUUGAGUGAUUCCUUUUGCUCCUGUUGCAAUUCUUAGUUCUUCCACACUCCAUCUAUAUAGCAAUUGCCUUGAAAGAGUCAUCGAAAUGCUGCACCAGAUACCCAAAUAAUUAUUACAGAACACCUAAUAUCUAAAGUUUGACAUAAACAAUACCCUUCCCUCUAAAAUUGGACAAAUAAUAACAAUACUUGAAACAGAGGCAAGAAACUGGAUAAGUGAACAUCUUGGUUUAGAGGAGAGUUCUCAGCUCAAUCAAUUAUAUAGAAUCUCGUAAUUAGGAAAAGAAGAUUACAAAGUUAAUUAGAUGUUCUAUAGCCUAAUUAGGUGCAGCAAAUAAAAAGGAUAUAAAUAAUAAAGCAUAAACAAGGAAAUAAUCAACAACAACAAUAAAGGCAAUAAUAUUAUUACAUCAUUAAUAACAACAAAAGACCACAUUAUCCAUAUCAACAAAUAAUCUACAGUCUCGACAAAUAAGUGAUCCUUAAUCUGUUCCAGAAUUGAUAAUUGUGUUGUUCUUUUUCUAUGAGAGUGGGGAGGGGAAGUUAUGGCAGAUAGUAACUAAAACAUAAAGUUAGGAAAGACAUAAAAACUACCUAGCAUCAUCACGAAUCUGUGAUCUGAAGAGUCUGUUGGACUGGAUUUCAAGCUGUCCUGACAUAUUUCGGCGAUCAUGUAAUUGGAUGUCUAACUGCAAUAAAAUAAACACUGAAAACUCAUUCAUGGUCCCCUCUCCUCAAAGAGCAAGUCAUACCUCUAACUAUAUUUGGAUUUUUCCAUUAACUGAAAGGAAUGGGACAAGUAAGGAUGAACUCAACAGGGAGGGAAAUUAAUGACACAAAGCUAGCUUUUCUUUUGUUCAUAAAAUUAACAAGGGAAAGGAACCUUUGGGUUCCUCUCAUUCCAAUCAAUUUCCAAGGGAACAAAAAUUGAUUCUUUGAAAGAAACAAACAGCAAAUAGUUCCUCUUGAAUUCUUUUACCAUCCUAUCUGUUUACAAACUCCCAAACAAGGGAAUAUGUUCCCCUUUUCCUCAUACCCUUUCUGUGCCCCCAUCAUCUGUAAUGUAAUCCCGAUAAAUUAUUUUACUGAUGGUUUGAGACACUACAUAUAGUCAAAUUUCUCAGAUACCGCACACAAAUAAGCUAAAAGGCUUGAGAAUACACCAUGACAAGGAGAUGACAAACUCACCUUUGACGAAGACAGAAACUUGUAUAUGGCACUCUGAAGCAUCAGAUGAUACGAAACAAAAACAAUGAAAUAACAGCACAUUAGAUAACUAAUCUGAAAUAGAUAAACUACUAAGUAUAAAGCAGUAUCAUACCUGUGGAACACUAUUCAAAUCCCCAGCAAUAAUAACAGGGAUGUUGCCCCAUUCUUGUGACAACUUGUAAGCUUUAUCAAGUAAAAGUCUGACCUGUCCAUUUUCCAUAAUAAGAAAAAUAUUAGACAACUUAAUUAACUAUAGACAAUUAAAUGCAUUUGUUUAAGGUAAAAUAAUUUGCACCAACCCGGCCCAAAAAAUAUAAUAUUAAAAAGUUUAAAAAAUGAAUCAGGUGCAUAAACAGCAAUGGCUAUACAUGAAAAAUAAGUAUAAUGAUACUCAUCUAGUUAAGAAGUACCUGACCCAGUUUGAUGUCACCACGAUUUGGGUUGAAUAGCACAUGUAUGUUUCCCACAACAAAUCUUCUUUUUCCUGUGGAUGGUUCCCUAUAGAUGACGAUCAUAUUAGUUGCUAAUUGAAAAACAUGAAAAAUACUGGCCGUGAAAUAGACACUAUAUGUGUGUAUGAGAGAACAUAUGUGAAUAAAUGAGUGUACAAAUCAAUCUUUCCAAAAUUUUCAAUUUUAAACUUUGGUGCUAAAAAUUAGCGAUGCAAUAAAGUUUCAAGAGAAGGAAAUAACAGAAAAAUGUCACUGGUUGGUAUGCAAUAAUUUAGUAUACAAAAGUAAAUACAGUCAUUCAAGAAUACUGGAAUAGAAGCACAUCCAAGUGUUAUGCAAAAACCAAGUCAAAGACUGCAAAUGAUUGUUCAUGUUACCCAUUUUAUACAUCUAAAACUUACAUUGUGGUUAGGUUACAUGCGUUGGAUUCUUUUUUAUCAUGGUUUCCCUGUAAAUUGAUAAUAAAAUAGAGUAAUAAGAUAUAAAGACGUUUGGUUUCAUUGCAGCGAGAACACGUAUAUGUAGACAAUGUAUAAGAUUGGGUGGGGGGAACUAAAAAUUUUGUAUAACAGAUCAUAAUUCCUUCUAUUAAAAGACAGCAUAACAAAUACAAAACACAGGACGGAAACAACUUAAAGAUAAAACUAAACCCAAAAUACCUCCNAAAUACACAGCUGGGCAACAUUGUUACGCAUGCCAAAUCUUUGGAACUCUAUAUCUUCUUGAUGCAAAAGAUUGAAUCUGCAUUCACAUUAAGAAAUAUAAUUAGGCCAAAUUAGGGAUUCGAUAUUUUCUCAANUGAUAAGUUCUAUAUUAGCACAUUUUUUAACUGUUGGUUUUCUGUUGCAUCAAUAAAUACUUAUGCACUCAUUUAAUUNNUGUNAAAGGACAACAAUGUAAAUAAAUUGAUUAAUAUAGGGUGCACAAAUUCAAUUACGUAAAUGAUUUAUGGGUUAGGGAAACCUACAACUUGUCUUUCCAAAAUACAGCACAUCCAUCUUUUGCUUCCCCAGUGCGAGCCUGUGACAAAUGAAAACAAUGAUCCACAUAGGUACUUGAUUAACUAUUAGGAGUUUUAAAACUAACAUGAUAGUUUAAAUGUGUAUGUAAUAUACCUUAUAAGUACCUCUAAAGCCACUGUUCUGGAAAAGAUUGUCUAGAUCAUUAAAAUGAUUAACCUCCUUCAAACACAAGAUUUAUGAGAAAGCAAUUCUUCAAAUACAAUUCUAUAAUGCAGAAAAUUAGCUUACAAUUUCAAGCAGAGAAUAAAUGCUAAAUCGGGUACAUCUAAGCUGUUUGAUUGUGCCAACUGGAAUUAACAUCAGUGUAACUUNUGUCUUUAAAGUUGUAUGUUACAUAUGUAACUAAAAAUUUUCNUCAUAUGUAUUUGUUCAUACAACUAUUAAACUAAUUUAUGAAUGAUUACAUANAGUAGUAGUUAUUAGUUAAAUCCAAGAUGCUACUGACAAGAUUCUAUAAGAUUUCGAACCAAAUCUUCCAUCUAAAUCAAGUUAUUAAUUACAUAUUAGUAAUGAGUGCAAAAUUUUUCGAACUUAUUUUUAAGCUCUUAUGAUAUUUAAAAACAUACUUUAAAGCUUACAUUAAAUCUUGUGAGUAUUCAAAUUUUCAAUGGUGAAUUGAUAUAAAGAUGAAAAAUAAAAUAGUCAAGGUGAACCGUAAAAUAUGUGAAAGGAUGGUAAAAAUAUGAGAAAUAAUAUGGCGAUGUCUUGGCUAAUAAUUUAUGUGCAAGGUAGGAUUUAAUUGAAAAUUUGAAAGUACCUUCAAGAAUCAAAAUGACAAGAACUGGUUAAGUUUAAGAACCACAUUGAAAAUGACAUAAUAACAUGUCAUAAUUCUUGAAAAAGUAAGAUUUUCUUUUUUUAUAAAUUUGGACAGUCUAAUGUCAACCACAACUACCACUUCAAUUGCCACGUAGUCAACCAGCGUACCAUGUUGACAUAGGCACUACCUUUCGCAUAGCUCUAUUAAUAGAAGGAUAAAAUUGAGUAAUCUUCUUUACAUUCAAGGAAUUUUUAAUAAUUAUGUUGCCUUCAUAGACUAANAUGACAAUGUCAAGCACUUUCAUGGACAUAUUUGAUCAAUCACCAGUUGUUCUUUUCUAGCUUUCAAAGCUUAAUAGAGAUGCAUAAAUCCUAAUGAUUAAAAAUGGUCGAAUGUUGUAACCAGUAUUCAAUUUAUAACAGCUGGAAGGACUACCUGGAAACACAGUAUGCUGGCAUUAUAGUUGUUAAUCUCUUCAAGUAUGAGCCUUUUCCGCUUGUCCCACUCCAAGAACCUAUGUGGAAUAUUAGAAUACAGAUCCGGAUGAUUUGAUGCAUUUUCAACACCAAGUAUAUUGUAUGAAACAACCACAAUCUUAUCUGCAAGGGAAGGAACAAUUCAGAUUAGUAAAUACUAGAUAAACACUGUCUAAUCUGAAGUCUAAAUGACACAAUUAACAAGAGCACCCAAAUGUAAAGUAUUAGCUAUCUUCAUCAUGGACUGUUGGUUAUUGGGGGUGGGGUUACACAUGAGCAAGCAAAUCCCAUUUGUACAUUCACACCUUUAUUUUUUUAAAAUUUAUUUUGUUGCCCUCUCCUUAGACAGCUGAAAUUUUGGGAUAAGGUACCAAGCAAAAUGUAUAUGAAUAUGUAGAUUGUAGAAUGGAAUCUGGUAAUUAAAUUCUCUAUUAUUUAUAUUUGGUGACAAAUUGACAAUCUCGACCACAGAAACGUAACAUUAAAAUGCUUACUUUUUCCUAAAAAGAAAAAUAACCAUAGCAAAAAGAAGUCACUUUUCUACACAAAAACAUACGCAUGCUCGGAAAUGUGCCCAUACGGGUGAUGAAUUUGUAUAACAUUUGAAUACAUAAUUUCAUAGUGAAAUAGAAUCCAAACUAAUUAUUAUUCCCUAGAAACAGAUAACCUCGUAAUUCUGAGUUCUGACCCGUGCAAUUAGAACAAUCUUUAGAAGAGAAAACCCAUUUCCUGGCAAAACAGGGAGAUUCCAGCAGAGGUGUUUUCUGCUUUGACGAAUAACAAGUGCUUAAAUUUUCUGGAGGAGGGCUGCCGCGAUCGUGGCUUGCCAUACCACCCUCCAGGAUAGACAGCAACAGCACAUGAAAUCAACUAGGUUUAGAAUUUUGUAUUCACUCAAGAAGAUUACUUAUUAGGGACACACAGUAGGGUGUCAUUCAUAUGCGCGUAUUUUACAUCCCCUUUUCAUAUCAUCAUGAAUGUAGCAUACACAGGUACAAUCACGCAGAAGCAACACACAAAUAACAAAUAACAAACCGUUUAGGCGUUUACCAAUUGUCACACUCACAAACAUUAAUUAAUAAAAACGCCUCUUCAUUUUACCUAAAAGGCAAUCAAAUGAAUACAUUCCCAAUUUUCAAAAAUAGUAUUGAAAGCCAUCAAUUGGAAGCUAUCCUAAUCACUUGUACAUGCCAUUUUCAAUAUUCCAAAAGACUACGAAUCCUCUCUCUGUUCUUAUCUCUUCAAAUUCCCACAGAGUAUUAGAAAAACGGAACACAAUUGGAAGUGAAUGCAGAUUCAAAGUGAAACAGAAUUCGAAUUAAGGAUUAUUCUGACCCGUGCAAUUGGAAGAGUCUUUGGAAGAGAUAAUCCAUCUCCUACUCCGACAUUCAGACUGAGAACGUCUUCUUCGUUUUGACGGAGAAUUUUCCGGUGAAUGCCUCCAACGCUUGCGCCGAACCAUGUUUGCACCGCUUCUACUGUUCAUGACCUCUGUUGAUAGUGUUCAACAGAUUCUCUUAUGCUAAAUUAUCGUAUAUCUUCAAGUUUAGAUUAAGUUUGAUUCCUUAUAUUUAAAAAAAUGCAAUUUAAUCUUUAACGAUUUUAAAAUGAAUUCUGUUUAAAAUUAAUCCUCGCCUUAAAUUUAAUACAAUAACUUUUAAAAUAGUAAUAGUUAACAUUUUUUAUAAAUAUAUGAUAAUACCUUAGUGUAAAAAUGUUGUUUAACGUCAUACGAUAGACGUCGGUUACCGGCACCCGUGACGUAUAUUGAUGACUGAUGAUAAUUCCAUAAAUAAAGUUAGCAAUAUAGACGUAAGUAAGGUCCAUCUUUGACGUCUAUAGAAUUUUAGAUGUCGGCCCUUCAAACCUGAUGUCUAUAUUUCUGACCGUUAUGUGAAAAGUCAUUUCCAUAAGCCUUAUAUACGUCAGUUCGUUUAGGGCACCGAUGUCGAAAUAGCGGAAAUUAAUGUUGCUCACCUACCUAUCAGACAUAUGGACGUCGAUUCCCUUCUAACUGACGCUUAUAAGUCUGCCAGGCAGGUGAAUAGCCACUGUUUUCAGCCUUAUAGACGUCGGAUCCCGCCACAUUGAAGGGACCCUGGCGUCUAUAUGGCGGAAAUUAAUGUCCCCCACCAACCUGUCAGACAUAUAGACGUCGGUCUCGUUGUAAUUGACGCCUAUAUGUCUGUCGGACAGGUGAAUAGUCACUUUUUUCAGCCCUAUAGACGUCGAAUCCCGCCACAUUGACGUCUAUAUACAAUUCUAGACGUCAGUUGCAUCAUCACCGACGUUUAUGUACAACAAAGAAAUUAAUUUUUAAAUCGAAUAGACGUCAAAUUAGUCAGGCGUCCGACGUAUUUGAUAAUGUAAACGUCGGUUCUAUGUACAACAGACGUCCAAUUUCUUGUUAAAUAACAUCAGUGGUUUGCGAACCAACACAUCGUCUUUGCCUUUUUCUCUCCGCUGCUCUGCAUUUUCCAGGUAAGUUUCCUCUCCUCUGCCUUUUCGUUGUGUUUUGGUGCGGUUUUUUUGUUGUGUCUUUGUGUAGCGUAAUGCACCUUCUCCCUUUGCUAGUUUCCUCGUAAGGAAAACUUGCGUUUUUUUGGAUUUCUCACGGCAUUUCAAUCCAAGGACGAAUUUGGGUUGUUGCCUAUGUCCAUUCCGAUCGCCAAUAAAAAAGUAUACGGUGAGAAUACUCUCACCGUAUACUUUUUUAUUGGCGGUCGAAAUGGACCUAAGUAACAACCUAAGUUCCUCUUUAGGUUGAAAUGCCAUGAGAAGUCCAAAAGACGAAACUUUUUCUUAUGAAUAAACUAGCAAAGGAAGGAGGUGUUACUACGCUACUUGAAGACACGACAAAAACCGUACCAAAACACAACGAUCACUUCAUAGAUGUCAGUUAAUGUACAAACCGACGUCUAUAUGGCGGAAAAACGUCGGUUAAUACAAUGUUUGACAGCUUUAUAAACGUCCAAUGUGUUAAGGACCAACGUCUAAGGUAACCUUAGACGUCAGUUAGUGCAAUGUCUGAUGUCUUUAUAGACGUCGUUGUUUGAACUGAGUCGACGUCUAUAUGGACGUUAUAGCGGCAAAAACUGACGUCCCAUUAACGUCACCUGUAUAGACGUCGGUUCGUUUUCUGACGUUAAAAACCCAAAAUAACUAAUGUCUAAAGCCCUUUCUAUACUAGUGAUACUAUUUCAUUAAGAGACAAUAUUAUAUAAUUUGUAUCAAUAUUUAUAGUAAAACAAUAAUUUACGUUUUAUUUAUUUUUAUUUACAUGAAUAUAAUUUUUUUAAAAUAAAAGGACAUAUAUAGAUUGUAAAAUUAUUUUGUUUUAUCAACUAAAAGUAUAAAUUAUUAUUUUAGAUUACAAGUUUUAUCUUUUAUAAACUAUUUCAUUAAAUGGAUGUUUUUGCUAGGGAUAAUAAUUUUAUUGAAUAUAAAUGGGAUUUAUAAUUGUAUUUAAAACUUUUUUUUAAAGAUAUCGUUUUGAUAAUUAAUAUAUAUAUAUAUAUAUAUAUAUAUAUAUAUAUAUAUAUAUAUAUAUAUAUAUAUAUAUAUAUAUAUAUGUAUAUAAGUCAUGAAGGGUAGAAUGAUUUCAUUAGACAACUAACCAUACCAUGAAGUUAUGUUCUAAUGAUGUUAAACUCUUUUUCUAUUACUUAUAACUUGAUGUAUUAAUUUACAUGAUUUAAAAUAUUAUUGAAGUAAGGUAUUUCUUUUCACAAAUAAUGUUGUGUUUAAUAUUUCGAAUAAUAAAUCAAAUAAACAUAUCAAAUCAUAUCUAUUCAAACAAAAUCAUCAUAUAAAUAAUAUAAACAAAUAUUUAAAAUCAAUUCAGCUUCGAAAGGAUGAAAUAUGGGCAAAUUAUGCAUAAUUAACAAUUAUGCAAAAUUUUCCCAAAACUAGGUUCAAUUUCAAAUUAUAAAAUCACAUAUAAAAAAGCAGACUCCAUAUUAUAACUAAUAUUUCUCAAAGAUAAAAAAAAGUACUCUUAUUUAUAAAAUUAUCACAACACUUUUUAACUUAUGAUCAUUAACCAAUUUUCUAUUAGUGUAUGAUUUACAAAAUUCAAAUAAAUAAUUAAUUUAAACAAUACGAUACUCUAGACACUAAACUUGUUUUACAUACUAGGAUUCUUAAAUCUUAAUCAUAAUUACCAACCACUUUCCUUGAUUAGAAAUUACCUUUUUUAUGAACUUCAUACCAACAAAGUUACAAUCAUAUCAUCUCAUGUGAAUGCAUUAUUAUUCACUUCACGUGUCACCCAAUCCAUACCAUUUUCAUCCUUGUCUUCAUGCAUGAACUAGUUGGCCUUAAGAAAUUAUAGAAACUUGUUUUUUUUCUCUUUAAAAUAUACAUAUUCCUUAAUCAUAAUUUUAAGUAAUUAGCUCAGAAAUUUCAGAAGAUAUUGUUAGCUACUAUGUGCUCAUGUGAAAUUGACAAACAAAACAUCAUGAAAAAUACUAUAGUAAAAUGAAAUUUUAGUAGAUAUUACUAGAUAUAUAUACUAUAUAUUACAUACUUUAAGAAAAACUUUACGGAUUAUGUAUUGUAGUCUUAUCCACUUGGAAUUGGAACUUCUCAUGAAAAAAUAUCUGUUAUCAAAUCCUGUUUCUUCUUCUUAUCUAAAUAAAAUAAAGCAACAUUUUGUCACUUUGUUAAGUAAUAUAAAAUAUAUGAAUUGACAGUAUGGGUUUUCCAUUAUUUUAUCAUUUUUAUUCCUUAUUUUAUUUUAAAAUCCUUAUUUCAAAUUAAAAUUUAUAAUUUUAGUUAGUAUAAAUAUUUUUUACGUUACUAUAUAUGUAACCAUAAAUUGAUAUGUAAUUAAAUUUAUUAAUUUGAGCGUCGAAAUGUUAACGUGUAGGUUGCAUCCUAUCAGACAUGAGAAUAAGAUUAACUAAAUCAAUUUUGUUCGGUUUCAAUCUGAAUAGUAACAUAAGAUUAUUGCUUUUCUUUAAAGAAAUAUAGAACUAUAAAAAUCAUAUCUAAGAUGAUAUUCAUAAAUUUAUUACAAUAAAUAAAUAAAUAAAUAAUCAAAUAAAUAUUUUCAACAAUUGCAUCAUCACUAGCUAUGAAAUAUCUCAGACUUUAUCAGUUACAGAUCGUGGCAUGCAUAGUUAUACAAAGAAAAAUAUCUGAUAAAUGUUACGUUCAUAUCUCAUUACACACAUACAUGUGUCAUAAGUUAGCUUGUUCUUAUGGUUCCAUCAAACAUGAAGAUUUUAUAACAUCAUCGUCGAAUUGAUAUUAACAUUGUACUAAGAUUCUCUCUACAGUGCCCCGAGUUACUGCAUAGAAGAUAGAUAGCAAAGAAUUUGUUCCCUCUGUGGCUGUCCAUGUCCCCUUUUUUUCCUCUAUUUGUUUGCAAAUUAAUUACGCCAAAGGAUAAGAUCGUAGGAGCACCCAUGAUGGAGAAUUUAUUGAAAGGAAAGUUGUAGAAGGGUGCCAAGGAAGAGACUCGUCACUGUUCAUAACAUUGCAGAACCAAAACAGUCUCAAAAAGCAACAUUUUUGGCUGCAUCUAUGUGUGUCAAUAUAUGCUGCAAUUUGUGGUUUUCAUUAUUAGUAGAAAAUAUAUGGGCCCAGAUAAAAUGCAGGAAAUUUUAUGGUAAACUAUUCUUUGGACACACUCCUAGAAUGUCAACAUUUGUGGCAAAUUUGUUACAAUAUCACUGUCUGAUCAAUUGCUCUUAUGUUAUCUCUAAGUUUUCACAUCAUAAUUGCCUACCAUGAAUGGAAAUUUGAGCUAACAAAGCUAAAAAAAUGAAGAUUAUGAACACAACCAUUUCACUGUCUUGGUUGGUUUAUAUGCACCAAUCAAACAAAUAGGUCAAUGUUUACAAAAUCCCACAAAUCAAAAAAUCAUGUGAUUGGCCAAUAAUGGUUGUGUUGGUGGACUUUUUUUGCUCAGAAAUUUGAGCCACCAGUGUAAGAUAAAAAAAAGGAAACAAGGUGAAAUCCCCACUUACUAAAUUUAACCAAGUUUGGACACACUCAAGUGGAAGAAAACACAAGGCAUAGAUUUAUCUGUGGUUCAAAAUUCUCUGAAGCUUAACUCCACCAGAUUAGUCAAGCUGAACCAUAUGUUAGGGCUGCAUCUACUGGUGGAAAAUGCACCAUUGCAAAGGUGAAUGGUUGAGAAGUUGAAGACAAACCAUAGAGGAAGUGAAAGCAACGUGAUGUUAGGACCGCAAAAAGGAAUUAUUGAAUCACAGUUGCAACACAACAAAAAAGGUCUUAUUCCAGCACACACCAACAACACUGACACUGGUAGACACUCACAAAUAACCUGCAUUGGAUCCACCAGAAAAUCCCAUAAAAGGAAAGCUAACCAAUAAGAAUUCAGAGAAUAAGAUGAACAUCAAAUCUCCAGCCAAUGAGCAUUGCGAUGAGACCAAAUCGUGGGCCCUAACACCUUCACUCAAUGUCCUGUAGCAAUCUUAUACAUGACCAAACCAUAAUACUAAUUACAUAGUAUAAUACUUUCUACUUAAACUAAAGAAGAAACCAAGUAGGAACAAACUAUAAGACCCCACUGUGCUUCUUCUCAUCUCAUUCUCAAACCCAUCAUAACCAAUAAUUGAAUUUGAAUCUAGAUCUAUGCACUUAUACUCCCUCAAACAUUGUUAUGAUUCUUUGUUGAUAAUAACCAGUUAACUGUUCAGUGCAGUUCUCUUUGCAGCCAAAAAUCAGUUCCCAUCUGUGACCGACGAAAUGAAAGAAGCAAGUGCAUUAGGAGCUAGAACUGCACGAGCAUGCGAGAGCUGUCUAAAAGUAAGAGCACGGUGGUAUUGUGCUGCUGAUGAUGCUUUCCUUUGCCAUGGCUGUGACAACAUGGUUCACUCGGCAAACC